Non-coding RNA from Rattus norvegicus (Norway rat), 47415 nucleotides. NCBI's taxonomy places the organism in Eukaryota, Metazoa, Chordata, Mammalia, Rodentia, Muridae. The record is from RefSeq and is a predicted model, not a curated record.
UACUGAUUUUCCAGUCUGUCUACUCAAGAUUGGGGCUUUCUAAGAGGGGAGGGGGGAUGGGGACCAUCGCCUGGGGGGAUGUGUGACAUGGUGACAUUUAUUUACAGUAUGACUUUCUAUGAACUGUUUAGGCCAUUGCAGCCAUUCAGUGGCUUCUUUCUGAGCUCUUCCUUGAUACAUUGUACUAGGACAUGAAGCUUCAUUGCAGCCUUUGACUGGCCUCCUUCUGAGCGCUUCUUUGCUACAUUGUAAUAGGACAUGAAGCUUUGGGCAAUGCUGAAUUGAUAUUUCCCAGAUGUCUUUUUCUUUCUGGGUAGCCUUGUGUGUUCUCAUAUCUUAGCUCAAGCAGAUGGCUCUCAAUAUGUAGAUACCUCCAGAUUCAGGAGCUGAAUUCUUUGGGGGGUCAGAUGAAAUUCUGUGGUCAGCAAUUUAACAUACACAGUAUCCAAAACACUGGCUCCCAGCUAAUGAAGGCUGUGCUCUUAGGGAACCAUACUUGUAGCUUAUAAAAUGGAAUGUAUUAAAGUACCCAACAAAGGGGCAGAACAGGGCAAGACUUUACAGACUUCCUGGGACUGCUUGUGCCUCUUCUACCUUAUGGGUAGCAAGUGUUUCCAAAUGUGACUCUUUAAGUAAGGAGGAAUCUCUGUACUAUGAAGGGAUUGGUGCUGGGAGAGACACACUCACCGUGCUGCUUCAUAGGCCUUGACAUGUAACUUAAAAUAUUUUAAAAAAAUUCUUAGGCAUUUAAUGCACUCUGUCAGUGGCUGGGCUCUGAAAAGCUAGUUUUUAAUAGAAAAGACAUUUAUCUUAUUUUCUCUCUUGUUUUUCUACUGUCCUGUGUCUGCCUCCUUGUCUAAAACACAAAUUUCUAUAUCAUUCACUUCACUUAUAAAUACCACUUCCAUUUUGUUUCUCUGUAGCUUAUUGCUAGAGCUGCUAAUAGACUUUCAACACAAAUGGUGUAUUGAUCACCGAAAUCUCUUUCGAGCUUGACUGAAUAUACAUAAUGGAGUGUCAAUCGGAGGAAAAUCUCAUAAUAAAUGGCAGGCGACUUAUAUUCAUGAGAAAAAUGUCUUGGGCAGCACACAAAAUAUCAUGUCUACUGUAGCAUGACAGGCUCACCUCACCAGUCUCGGCCGGUCUGUGCGCAUUCAUGGCGUAUGUUUAAUAUCGAAGGCAGGGUUAGAAUGCCAAGUUCCUGAAUCUUUCCUUUGUUUGUAUGAGAGGCAUUUUUGUACACUCCACAGAGUAUAAACAUCUUCUAGAAGCACCGCCAGCAAGAAAGAUCUUUUAUACCUGAGGAAUUCAUAAAUUGCAAACAAAUCUGUUUGAGUUGAUAUAUAUUUAAAAUCAGCUGAUUUAUGCAGUCCAUAUUUUUAAAUUUUUUACCAUGUGUGUACCAGGGCAUACACACACUGUAUGCAAAUAUUUUCAAUGCAUGUAUGGGAACACACAGUAUAUUUAGAGAGAAGCCUGUUUUACAUAAAUUAUUUUUAAGAGCAACCAAACAGAGGAAUAGCCAUGCAUUAGGAAAGCCACAUUUUAAUCCCUCCACACCCCCCUUUAAGCUUACUGUUGGAUGGUAUGUGAAGGAAUUUCAUAUUUAUAAUUUUAUAUGAAAUUCUGUUUUUCCUGCCAGAAGUCUUGGAUUAUUUCUGCAAACCCAGUCCUGGAGAGGCUGAGGCAGGAGGAUAGUUGUGAGUUCAAGGAUAGCCUGGGCUACAGUGUGAGGCCCCCCUGUCAAAACAGUUGAAUUUCCAUCCUUGAUGGCCCACCCCUUUAAUCCCUUCUCUUGGGAAGCAGAAGCAGGGGGAUCUUGGUGAGUUCCAGUCUAGCCAGAGUUACUGAGCUCGUGAUGAACCCAAACAAAAUGGUCAAUCAAUACAAUGGAUUAGGGUGGCAGGAUCCCAAGAGCUUGCUAUCCAGCAAGCCUAGUCUACUCGGCAGCCUAUAAGCCAAGGAAAGACUGUCUCAAAAAACAAGAAAGAUAACACCUGAGGACACCAGCUGGGGUUAACCCUCUACCCUCAUACUCUCAGGCACCCACAUAAACAUACACCCACAUGCAUGCACAGUUACCACUUCUACUAAUAAUAAUACGUAUCAUUUCUCCUGAUAGAGCAGUCUGAGAAGCUAAGUGUCCUAAGUGAGAAGGGACCUUCAGGGUGGGGCCUUCAGGUGGGUGAUGGUAGGCAGGGCCCAGUUCCUUUAUGCAUUGACUUGGCAACUAUAGCUGCUGACUGUCUAUAAAGAAUCCCGCUACCGAGGAAUCAUGGGAGUCCACAGCAUUAGCUGACACACUGCUCCACCUCACGGCAGACCAGAAUGUGAUGUUUCUCCAGUCAAUUGGGCAAGAUACAUCCCUGUUGCCAUCAGACGUGUUGCCUCUUCUCUAAGCAAAUGGAGCAAGCGGCUUCUGCCACUGCCCAGAAUCAAAUCUGGGGUUGUUUAAAAAUAUAAUGACUUAGUUAUGCAUGCGGUGUGCCUGGUGGUGAACAUACCACACUGCGCUGUGGCAGUCAGAGCUUGUGGGAGUCGGUUCUCUCCUUCCACCAUGCGAGUUGCAGGGAUCAAACCCGGGUAACCCGGCUUGGCAGCGAGUUCCGAUAUGCUGUGGCUGACAGGGGCAGGGGAGAUGUGCAAAAAGAAAUUGAUGUUUAGAGAGAUGGCUCAGUAGAUAACAGCACUUGCUGCAUAAUCAUGAGGUCCUGAACUAAGGUGCCAGCACAUACAUAACAAGCUCACAUGGUCGUAUGCGCACUAUAACUUCAGUACUCGGUGUGGACAGAGCCAAGAGAGCCACUGAGGCUUGGGAGCUGCCAGCCUGGGAUCUCCAGGCUCGGAGGGAGAUCCUCCACAGAGCAGGACACCAAGCGUCCUUCUGUGGCUUCCUUGUAUAUACGUAAACACAUACACACCUCGUCACCCUGCGGACAAAAGUCUGCUUCUGCUUCCUAAAGCACUUAAGAUGCAUUAACGUGUGGUGUGUUAUGGUUUUUCAUGGUCUCCACCUCGGGAGACAUUCACACUAGUCGGUGUGUAAAUCCGGGCAAGUAAGGCUGCUGAGGUAUGGAGAGCGGACAUUAAACUCCAACCUUCCCUUCCCAUAGCCAGAACUUGCACCUUUCUUCCCUGUUAUGCUGGUGAAAUGUUUCUUUGCUUGUUUUUAUUUUUUAAGUUUUUGGUUAUCAGAUGGAUGGGGGGUACAAAGUUUGCUGAGGAAAUGGAGUAUCAGAGAGCUAGUAUUUAGAAGUUCAGGGAUGUGCGUUAUGGAAAAGCUGUCCUUACUGUUAAAUGGUUACUAUAAAACAUGUCUGAUGAAUAAUCUACACAUAUUGCUAUGUACGUCAACAGCUUGGUUGCGAUUAAAUACUGUGUAGGGUGUGUGUGGCUCUUCAGAGUCCGCUGCAUAGCUUAUGCUCGGGGACUAUGCUGGUGCAGUUUUGUGAAAGGUAAGUUUAAACUCAGCUGUAAGAACAAGCCUCAUGAAUUUUAACCUGCGGAGAAGUGCAUAUGCGAAAGUUGGAAGAAAACUGGGGCUUCUUGGAUGUCUGUGAUGAAAGAGAAAAAUGAAAUCCUAGAGAAAGGAAACUUGGAAAGGAAAAAAAAAUAUUCCCGAAGAAUUUGAGUAGGAAGUCUGCGUUUGUAGACCUUGCUUGUCUUGAAUGUUGGGUGGUUUACUGAUGUAGCUCACUAAAGUGAGACAGGAAAGAAUUAAAUGUUUUUUCUGUGGACUUGUUGGCAUAGGCCUAGCAUUGGACCCCCGUGGUACAUUGCUCACAGGAUCCAUUUUCUCAUUGAAACCAACAUUAACGUAUCUUUUGGCUACAUAUGAUCCAGUUCGGUAAUAUAAAUAAACACGCUACUUAAAUACAUUGUUUUCUUGCCAAUUUUAAACCUAUACUUAGACUACAGUUUUAAACUUAUACUUAGAACAAAAUUGGGUAGAAUCAAAAAUAUAUCCACUAAAUUUUUGGUAAUGCUUUCGCAUCGUUUAAAAAUAUAUUCAAGGAUCAGGGAGAUAGCUCGGUCAAUAGAGUAGUGAUCUGAGUUAAAUACCUAGAAACCAUGUUAUAAAAGAGAAAGUGGGGGAGGCCAGGGGUGACAAUGUAUGCUUGUAAUCCUAGCAUUAGCGAUACAGGAAGCAAAGCUCGCUGGGUGCUUACUCACCAGCCAUUCUAGCUGAAUAGUGAGCUCCAGGUUAGUGAGAGAUCCUGUCUCAGAAAAAUAAGGUGGACAGUGACUGGAGGGUGUGCUCUGGCCUCUCAUGGAUGUAUAUGCACUCAGAAUCAGGUAAUCAGGUAUACAUGCACACACGCGUAUGCAUGAGGAUACUCGCACACACACACACACACACACACACACACACACAGUAUUCAACAUCACCUAAAAAGCAGCAGAACGCACAGCUGUUUCACAAGUGUGACGUCACCACCCACGGAGUUUGCUGUUCUGUGGCACAGAGGUUAAGAAAGAUCUAGAUGACCCUGCGCGUUCAUUUCACGUAACUGCGUUUUCAGCAGCCUAAAUGCAGCCAUGUUUAGCAUUACAACAACCGAAUGGAAGGGCGGCUGAAACUAGUUCUCACGGUGAUGUAAAUGGGACACAAGGAAAAUAUGGUAGAUGAAGAUGAUAAUUUGCUUUUAAAAACUCGCGGCAUUGGUUUUUAUCCCACUUUAAUAAAGCACACAUUUGGGUGAAGGAAAAUUUCAUUGUAUGAAGCAGCACAGCCCUCCCUGCAUCAUUGGAGUCAUUGGGUAUAAAUGACUUUUAAUAAUUUAGCUUUCUGUUUAGUGAAUAGUUUAUUUUAGGUUUUAUUGCUUGCUAAGGGAAAAUUGAGAGAGAUUUGCUUAGGGUGAGUAACAGAGCAUCGUGCAAGUUGGUCUUCCCAAGGAAAUACUGAAACUGAAAAACCUCCAGCUCACCUCCAUGUGUCUCUCAAACCGCUAUCUCACCAUGGAAGCAAGAAUAACGUGAAGUCUGUAGGAAUGCCUAGCAUUCUUAUCAAUAAACAUGCAUUAGAUAAGAACAGGACAUAGCGUAAGGAGUCAUUAAGUACAUUGAUGCUUAAAUGUAUACGUCACUUCACAUGAGCCAAAACCACUCCUGUUUAACCAAAGCUUACCACUCAGACAUGCCUAAAUGUUAUAUAGAAGAAAAGGAAAACAGGUUUGUUGGUUGUUUUCUGGGCGGUUGGGGAAAAGGUCUCAGUGGGUAAGGCACUUGCAGAGCAAGUGUGAGGACCUCAGUUCUGGUCCCCAGCACUGCACGAAGUUGGACACGGCUAUCACGCAUCUAUAAUUGCUUCCCUCUUAUAUUGACAUGGGAGGUGGAGAAUCCCAGGCACUGGCAUACCUGUGUGGAACAGAGCCCAGCCCCAGACAAGGUGGAAGGAGAGAGGUUGAGCACCCAAGGUUAUCCUUGACCUUCCCAGGAACACCACGGCCUGUGCGACCCAGAGAUUUUAUUGUUGCUAGGCAGAGUUACCAUAGCCUGCCAGAAACCAAGUGGUGAUUUUUUUUGUUUUCAUUUGUUUGAUGGGGGUGAGGAAGCUUUUUAAGGAGCUAGAUUCUUUUUUUUUUUUUUAAGUAAAAAAAAAAAUCUGUGAAACCAACAGACUGUACUUUAAGUUGAGUUUCCUCUUUCAUCUCGCUGUGGCUUUGGCCCCCUUCGGACCAUGUUUCGGCCACAGCGUUGUAACAGUAAUGGUAUGCAAACCCAGUGAAAGAGGAACUGGAUUUUGACUCAUCCGAGUAGAGCUGGCCUUGCCUAUGGAUUCUGUCCUCAGGGAUAUGAAUGUCCAAUGUCAGAGCCAGUGUGAUUCUUGGACUAGGCAGCCACACAUUCUUCAUGCCCUUCACCUCAUUGGUGGAGAGCCCCCUUUGCUUGGCAUGGAACCCAGCCUUGUUCAUGCUCCUACUAAGUUCUACCCAAGACCCAGGUUCUUUUCUGAUCUCUAGACACCUGAGCUUUUCCAUAAAGCUCUUCAAAACCAUUUUUCCCCUCUUAUUCUUACAAGAUGACAACUUACAGAAUUCACUAUAAGGUUCUUAAAAUGUGAAGCCUACUCAGAUCCAUGAGAUUGGGCUCCUGCAUUCGGAUUCAAUCCUUGGACAUCGUUUUUUAGGGAAAGAACAAAAGUUUAAGCCUCCAUGAGGGUCUACCUACGUCACGAAGUGCUAGCUUCUGCCAAUGCUCUCUGCAGACGCUCCUCGGCCCACUGUGUACAUGGCUGAGAUGUCUUAAAGCAGGCAAGCAGACAGCCUCUAAAGCUAGAAUUCAAACUGAUAGCAAAAUACCAAACAAAACAGCACACGGGGAGGAUUUAGAGCAGCGACUGCUGAUGCUUCUUGGGAGAUGUUACUAAACUCAAGGAAACUGGCCAAAUGCCAGCAUUUUCUUCUUUUCCUUUGUAGUGCCCAACAGAUACCAUUGAAAGUGACCAUGACGACAGAACCCUCUUGGCUUUACCAGCCCUGAACAUGAGCUCAUUUGGUUGUGUACGGAGUCCGCAUCCUCACCUUCCACAUGCUGUGGAACGCAGCGGCACUAGACAUGCUCUCUGUACAUACAGAUUCUUUGAGCUUGAAAAAUGCCCAGAGUACCUAAGGAACUAAAUGUGUCACCUUACUUAAAAUUUUUUAGAUGUCAUGUGUUUUCUACAUAUUGGCCCGUCCAGGUUUGAUGACUGACGGGCAAGUGCUGGCCCUGUACUAAAGUCCUCAGUGCUCUGUUUGGUGGCUGGGUAGUGUGAACCAUGGUGUGCCCAAGCAUAGCAGUGGCCCUGCACAGCCUGGGGCUCAGGCUUGGUCUAGGAGGACCACGUCCUCCUGGGAAUCGGUGUAGGGUGCCACUGCAGCAAGACUUGGUGCCUAGCUUGCCACCAAGGCCAAUGGCGUGGUGUGACUUUUAAGUGCUCUUGAAUAGGUGAGGGAAGCCUUUGUAUUUCCUUGGGUGUGAGUGUGCUUCCGCCACUGCUCACGGGCUGGUUUCUCUCUCUCUCUCUCUCUCUCUCUCUCUCUCUCUCUCUCUCUCUCUCUCUCACACACACACACACACACACACACACACACACACACACACACGGCUAACAGCUCAAGGUGGCUUGCCUUUUGCAAUCCUGAUUUCUGAGUCCCAGACUCUACAUGGCUGCAGGCCUGUAAUCACAGCCUGCUGAGAUUUACCAUUUCUGAGACUGAGCGAGGUGAGGAAACCUGUCUCAUGUGUGUGUGUGUGUGUCUGUGUGUGUCUGUGUGUGUCUGUGUCUGUGUCUGUGUGUGUCAGUGUGUGUCACAUGCAUAUCAUCCCCUGUCCUGCCCACUGUCACCUCCUCCCUUCGUUAUUCUAGUUGUUCACUGUCCCAGCAUCUGCAAAGUGCUGAGCCAUGAUGGUACUUUUGGAAAAUAUAACCCAUCUUUGCCUCCUUCUAUCACAAAAUAAGGCCCUUAAAGCAUUUCGGACAAGCACAGCUGUAAGGAACAAUGGCCAGUCCAUUUCCCUAGUUCCCUGACUCCAGGAUGGCUAGAUCAAAGCUAGCCCAGUGGCUUCAUCUUGAUCCUUCCCGGCUGAGCCUGGGGAACUCCCAUUUCAAGAAUUACUGGUGCUUUGAGGGUGUCCUCAGAUGUCUGAGCCAUGAUUUCAAAGACAUCUGCCUCCAUCCCAGGAAGGUCCUCAGGAAUUUUCUCUGGACAGGUUGGUGUAUGGCCGUGCAAGCAUUGGCCCUGCUUUUGAGUGAUCUUUGGGUCUCCCUCCAUCUCGUAGGCCCUUCAGUCCACAUGGCCUCCCUGACUGGCUGGGCUGGAACAGCUUUUCCUGAUAUGAUCACUGUUAGUGCUACCACUGUGUCCACAGUAAGUUCCAGGCCGCUGAGGGUCGUUGCAAGGCUGACAUGCAGUCAGUGCUGACAGCCGACAGAAUUCCUCACUUCACUCAGCCUCAGUGGGACAGAGGGAAGCGGUGAAUCCCAGUGGGCUGUGACUACUAAAUUGAGUAGGACAUUUCCACAUGCUUGUCACUGAGAGGCCAUUGUGGUGGGGCGUGCAUGGCCAGCCUUUCUCUCUCUUAGGUUACCUCCCUGCUGCAGACCUUCUAGAGCCAAGGGUACAUUGGACUGGGACCUGCCGCCUCCCUGCAACACUCCUAGGCCACGUCCCUUAGCAGCUCCACAGGCCUGAUGCUUACGAGGAGGCAGACAGCUCCGGGAGGCCCCCACGCACGCGCCUCCUCACCAACAAGGCCUGGGCCUCCAGGGAAAAUGCUCCUCUACUCUUUGCUGUCAGGCUUGGGGCUGACAAUUAAGCCACUGAAAAAAGAACAAUUCACAACAGGCCUACACAGAGAAGUCUUUUCAUGCCUCGAAUGGCCAAAUCGUCCCCAUUGGCACCAUUUAUGUCUUGUGUAUAGGGGGGACUGUACUUGAAAAUGGUCAAGAAGCCUUGCUCAGAAAGGGGUGUUUGGUGGUUCUAUGGAAAGCAUCCUGAGAGAGUUUAUUGUUUCCAGCUGUUAGGUGGCCCUGGACCAAGAGCUCUGAGUUUGCUCAGUGGGGGUUGUGGGGGUGUUCUGACACAAUGGCGGUCACUCUGGCUGGCAGAGCCUCGGUCAUUGAGACUAUAAGGUGGGGAGGCUGCUUCAUGGCUUCAAUCAGGUCACAGGCCCUGCCCAGCUCCAGAGCCAUCCAAGAUAGGAUGCAGUGGCCUGUAUGUGUACAGGGCCAUGGAACCCAGGGCCUGGAACACACUGAGCCUCUGGCUUGGGCUCAGUGGUGGCUUGAUGAUGUCAUAGUGCCAAAAGCUUGCAUAGAAAGGACAAUGGCUUGCUGGCCCGAGUGCUCUACCCACUCACAAAGAUGCUCACAGACACCCUUUGAACUGUUCAUACAGGCAUGUUGGUCUGAAGGUGUCUUCAGAGGGACCUGGUGUGAUUUUUAAGAAUAACAGAGCAGCUAGGAAGCCCACCUUGAGUCAUCUGCUCCCACUUGGCUGGAUUCACCAAGUCAAGUCUCUUUUGCAGUUCCUGUCAUGCCCUAAUAGACUAGUGGAGAAGCAGAUGCCUAUGGAAUGUCCUUUGUGUCAGGGUAGCACCUAGCUACCAGGCCAGGGUCAGGGACAGGUGCAUUGGCCACCUGGCCUCCUGGUCCUUGAGCAGCAGCAUCCGAGAUUUAAGGGAACUUCUGCGCCACUGCACCCCCACCCCUGUGACCACUGUGUUAACUUUGCAACAUUGUCUGGGCUGGGUUUCUGACUGGCUGUUUCCAUGUUAUCUCUACAACCACCCAUGCAUUUUGCAAGUAAGGAAUCUGGACAAGAGUGGGCAGGCCAAUGGCUCAAGGUAGUGUGCCUCUUACCAUCCUGCUGAGGUCUGGACUCCAUACAGUCUUAGCCCAGGCUUCCAGACCCUCCACACCACCCACUCCAGGUGCCUCUGAGUCAUGAUCUGUGAAGAAGAAAAGGAAAGAUAGAGCCAGAGGCUUCGUGUGCUCUAGACCUUCAUUUCCCAGAGCUGCCGCCUCCCAGCUGGGCUAGAAGGCCCCUGCAGCCAUCCACAUACUUCCUAGGCCCCACUCGAUUCUGUCUGACGUAUAAAUGACUCAUUUCCUCAACUUUUCCUUUUUCUUUACUUAUUAAGACAAUGAACAUCCUGCACCGGGAUUUAUAUCUGUCUCAAUUAAAUGUUCCAAAGGCGAUCAGAACUGGGUUUUUGUGUGUGUGUGUGUUGUUGUUGGGUUUUGUUCCUUUUUCUUUUUCUUUUCUUUCUUUCUUUUCUAAUAUUAGACCCUGUAUCAACAAAAUCUGUAGCCAUGUCCCUCACCCUUGGAGAUGGGCUUGGGUGGGGUCGUCUCCCAGGCACCAUGUAGGACAGCCUUAGCCAGAAGAGGGCAGAAGGAAAGACGUCAGUUAACUUUCUUGUUACUGUGACCAAAUAGUCUAAAGAAUCAACUUAAGGGUGGAGGGGGUUAUUUUGGCUCACGAUUUGGAGCCCAUCACAGUGGGGAAGGCACAGCCGCAGAAGCACGAGGCAGCUGCUCGCAGUGUGUCCACAGUCAAGAAGCAGAGAUGGGGGACACUUUAGUACAUACUCCUUCUAAAGCAGUCUGGGAUCGUGGCCCGUGCAAUACCCCUGUCAACAUUUAUGGCAGGUCUUCCCACCUCAAUUAACCCAGCCUAGCUAAUUACUCACAGACAUGUCCAGAGGCCUUCGACGAUUCUAGGUCCAGUCAAGUUGGCAAUCAAUAUCAGCCAUGGAGAUUGAAGGGCAGGCUAAUGCUUUGGGGCACACAGUGGGUAUCACCCCUGGUGCCCCACGGCCAUGUCAGUGAAACGAGAACAUAAUGCAGAUGGGCACACACCUUGGGGUGGGGACGGGGGGCACUGGCUGUAAGCCUCCAUGCAGGGAUUAGCUACUGAGUCUAUCCUUGAGUGCAACAGAGCACAUGGAUUCAGAGGUCUGGGGACACACCCUGGCUACACCUCCUCAUGGCUGUGCGUCUUUGGGCGAUUAAUCGAACCUCUCAAAGAAUCAGACGUUGACUCUGUAAAAGAGUUUCGUUGCCACCCUGAGAAGCAUGUUUAGUUCCUAGAAAGGGCUCUUCAAAGCAAACCCAAGUCACAGCAGCCAUCCAUAUAGACAGAGGCUGCCAGCCGCUCUAGCCUUCUGAAACCAGAAGAGGUCCCUGCCAGCCACGUCUCAAGAUUCUGGGAGAAUAUUUGUCUUAAGGCUUAUUUAUUCUGCUUAAGCCAUGCUGAGUCCCACAGAAGAGAGUCUGCUCUGUCUUCUGCUUGGUUUUUUUUGGGGGGGGGGGUUGUUUGUUUGUUUGUUUGUUUUUUCCGAAAUUGCUUCUUGAAAAUGAGGUUAAGGCAGGUAUUGGUUCAGCUCUGGAACCAGGCUUGGGGCUCCCAGAAUCCCUGCCCUGAAGUGUUUGCACAGCAUGACUGUGUUUUCUUCCUUUGAUACCCUGUACUGAGUGGGGGUGGGAACAGAGCUCCACCUGCUGCUGUAUGUUCUGACAGACACCUGUCCCUUUCCAGAAAGCUCCUCUUAGGCUCAGACUGUGCCACACCCAGUGGUCCUUCCUGUGCUGCAGCUGGGCUGGCUAUGGCUGUUCACAACCUCCAUCCCAUAUCCAAAGUCCACCAAAAAAAAAAAAAAAAAAGACAUCAGGUGGCACCAGGGCUUCUGUAUUAACAAGGAGUGUUGCUUCAGAACUCACCCAGCCCUCUUGCCCUGGCUGCUCCUUGGUGGGACAUUCUUAGCCUUGUGUUGGCAGACAGGAUGUAAGUAUGGUUCAGGGGACUAGAAGUCCCUCCUAUGGUUGCCAGGCACCAAGAACACAGACUGCCAACUGUGUAAGCCCCGGCCUGCUGUCAUCCUGGCAUCUUCAUCUCCUUCACACCCACGCACUCCAUCCAGAGCUGCCAUUAGCCAGAGCCCUUCCUUUCUCUCUGGACCCCAGGUUUCCCAGACCCACAGGGGCCAGGGCCUCUCCUACCCCUCCCCACAGCCACUCAUCAUCCAGGGGCAUCUUUCCCACAAGAAUGUGUUUGGUUUCCUCCUUCUUCUCCUUGACUGGACAACUUCUCCACACCUUGCAGUUUUAGCUGUGUGCUUGGGAACUGUUUGCUUCUCUAGCUGUAACAUUCACCAAGGCUGGGCUGUGUCUGUUACUCUCUGUACCUUCUCCCUAAACAGUCCUGACCAUCCAUCAUAGCUCAGAAGUGGAGAAAUGAACCCAAGAAGACAUACAGAUUAAGAAAUGUCUGGAGACCGUGGGCUCAAGUGAGAGGACCUAUUGGAAAUAACUGGAUGAGCUAAAGGAAGCCCCCAAGCUCACCCAGUGGCUUCCUCAGCUUUUAAAGCUACCAGGAACCACUCAGAGCAGGCAGCACAAGUAUUUCUGGGAGCAUGGAGGAAAAAGGCAUUUCCUCUCCCCUAAAAGGUAUGCUGGGGACAUCACAAGAGCCUAACGUGGCUCCUAAGGGCCUUUCAUGGGUACAGGUACACAGUCUCGGUUCCCUUAUAUCUGAGCUUUCUGGAGUUGUUUGUCCUCAGUCAUUUCUCACCCAAGGAGGAAGUGGGGGCUCAGAGAAGCUGGUACCGCCUUCUCCCCUCCCCUCCUCCCCUUCCCUCCUCUCCUCCCCAUGAACCUGCACUGAGCAGUCCUCCCAGGAAUGCUCAAAACUGCCUUGCCACUGUGAUCCACACAGCUGUUUCCAGGUUAUCGGCAAGACGGGGAUCUAGCAUAGACCAGGGCAGUUGAGAGAUGGUGAGGGUUUAUAAGGCAGGCUGGAGUUCCUACAGAACGUCAGUGCUGUCUGGAUUUGUCCAGCAGGGGUUUACCAUGUAUAAUUGAGUGUCAACCAAGCAGGCUGGAGGUCUCAUCCUCAGACUGAGUGUUGUCAAUACCUGAGUGGAAUUUGGGGGGACAUGGAUGGUAACAUAGAUGAGGAAAAAAACAGACUCCGGUCUCCUGGAGUGUGGCCCCAUUUGUAUCUACAUCAGCAUCUGGGGGCUGCAUGAUGGGGGCCAUUUGGUGACACACAGCAAGGAGAGUGACAUUCACGCAGGCAGAUCUAUAGCAGGCAGAAUCGUGAAAUGGUGGCGGGAAGUGAGACAGUUAAAGGAAUUAGACUGAAGAACAGAACUCAGACAGUGGCUGCUGGAACGCAGGGGGCACCAGGCAUGGCGGUGAGUACCCAUAGUCCUAGGUGUGGCAGAAGCACUCGGAUCAGGAAUUCAAGGAUAACCUCCAUUACAUAGAGAUUUGAAGUUAGUCUGAUCGCCAUGAAGCCUGGGGUAUGAAAAAUAAUUGAGAAAAAGAAUUCAGGAGGCUAUUAAAUGUGAGAAUGUGUGCCUUGGUGUGUGUUGUCAAGACUUCAGACAUGCCACUGACUGGCUCUGUGGCCAGGGAGGAUCCCUUAACCCCUCUGCGGUGCCCAGAACAGCUUCUCCCCAGGAUGCUAUACAAAGGGCUUUCCCCAUUCACAGAGGGAAUCCCCACCCCAUCCCCAGGAGUAGCACUGCCCAAGCACCCUUGCCAGUCCAGUGUCUCCAUCCUGGGGAAAUUCACAGAAAUUCCCAGGUAGUGCUGGUAGGGCUCCGUGAGGCUCGUGGGAGAAUGCACAGUCAUGGUCGAUGUUUCUCCAGCUCACCCUGCCUCUUACCCUUCUUCUGCUCUGCUGUCUCCCGCCUUACCUUCCUGCUUGCUCUCUGCCAGGCUCUCAAGGCCAUGGUGUUCUUCGUUUGUAUCCUGCUGCUGCCCUGAGGACAGACUCCAGAUCAUUCAGACUAGGACCUCAUGCAGCUAGCAGCAGUUGAAUUUCUACUCUAGGAGAUAUAGUGGCUAGAGGGACCGAGGCAGGGGAUAAGACCAUGUCUCAAAAAGAAGAUGGACAGACAGAUAGGAAGGAAGAGAUUACAUCUUUGCUCUCUCACCCCAAACCCCACAGCUAUAGAAGCACAGAAUAGGAAGUUGCUUCUUCCUUUGCAUUGAGUCUGGCCCCACUGGCAGGUCUCCAUUCUUGCUUCUGAGAAGGCUUAGCUGUAGAGACUACAGUGUAGGUCAGGUGAAUCCGAGCUUCAUGGCAGGGAGGGGCCUACCCCACCAAGCUCACUUUAAUCCACUCUUAAGUUGAUAAGGUGAUUCUGCCUCCAUGGAUAGCACCAGACCACGUAGGGAACUAGGGAACUGAAAUGGUCGCCGACAUGGCGUCGUCUGGGUUGAAAGACCCCACACCCUCACCCCCUCACACCCCCACCCCCACCCCGCUCAAGGCUCCAGCUUUGGUUUCCUGUGGAAUAACAGACGAACUGGGGUGUUCCAAGCCUCUAGCGCCGUGACAUCAGUGGACACAAUCCCAGGGCAUUACCUUGCUGUCAUUUUGCCUCCUGCAAAGCAGAUCUGUGACUCGCAAAGCUUGCUGUAGUGUUGCGAAUGUCAAAUCUGUACAAAUACGGCCACAUUUGGGCCUGUUGUGUUUUCCUUUCACACACUGAUACUUUAAUGACUUCAACCGCUCAGGCCCUGUCACCAUGUGGCACGGUGUCAGUUUUUGUAAUUAUAUUGUCCAAUCCUUAUGAGAUACUCAGACAGCACUCUCAGGCCAAUGGUGCUGCUGCCCUGUCAGCCUGGCAGCUCAUGCCAAGCCUAGGCAAUCACAUCUCAGGGAAGAAAAGCCCAGGAGGCCAAGGGGCUGAGCAGGCAGACGAGACCCAGGGAACCUCUCUAUCCCAGGACACUCCCAGUUUCAAACCCUGGGCUGGUUGGGCUUACUAUCCGGAGUUGUUCCUCAAAUUAGUCCAAAAGUAGAUCCACAGGCUCUUUCCACAUGCACCCUUUCUCUGUGUACUAGGGCUGUGGUAUGGGCUCUAGGGGUUGUGCAUCUUGCACUAUUUUGUGGAAGAUAAAACUUGCAAGCCCAGCAUAGAGCCUGCAAGCAAGUCACAUGACAGGAAACGGAUCUUGGCCUGCACUAAGGGGGAACAGAACAGGAGCUGGAUCUGUGCAAAGGCAGGUGUGAUUGAGACAAAUAGAUGAAAAUGUUUGAGCAGCUGCAAGUUCUCUGAGCAAUGGAAAUGUCUCUAGUGCCACAAGGUUUCCACUGUAGUUAUCACAAUAAACAUUUUCCUAUAGAGGAUAAAAGUUCUAAAUUUGAGCAAAGUUAUCUGUCUUUAAUACUGUGGGAAUUGUAGGGUUUUUGUCUUACCUUAGAAAACAAGUAAUUUUUCUACACUUAAAUUACUUAAGUCACCAAUUAAUAAGUUUAUAAUUAAUAUUUGUUCUCCCAAUGAAUUUAGCCUCACGCAGAGUGCUCCAGUCUGUUGCUUGAGAUAUUGCAAGGGCUCAUUUUUGUUCUCCUUCUAAGAUGAGCUUUUAUCUUUAAUGGGGUCACAGACAACUGCGUGUUGGCUUUAAUGAUUAAAAUGGAGCUGAUCCGUAGCCCCACCUGGUUAAAUUUCAAAAUUCGGUGGAUUCUUUGUGUUAACACUGUAUUUUGUGAAACACUUGAUAAGGCUUCUCUGGUGUCAAACAAACAAACAACUGGGUAGGGACUUUCAACCCUGGUGCUAUAAAAUGGAGGCCAGUGUUUCAUGAGAGAAAUUAAGUAGCAAGUUAGAUGUUGGCUACAGGAGUUCCAUGGCCAACUUUGAAUAGGAAUGUCAACUGUCAAACAAAAUUUUCUUAAAAUGUGUGUGUGUGAGUGUGUGUGUGUGUGUGUGUGUGUGUGUGAGAGAGAGAGAGAGAGAGAGAGAGAGAGAGAGAGAGAGAUUUAAUUAGCAGGCUAAUUAUCUAUCACAGAUUUAGAAUCCCAGUCCUUCCUGGGAAGUGGGAAAUGCUCUAUAAGAAGUGACUGUAUAUACAGAGACUGCAGAUUGAUUUUAAUGUUAAAAUGCAUACAACCUAAUUGGAAAUACCAAGUGUGUGUGUGUGUGUGUGUGUGUGUGUGUGUGUGUCCCUUGUCAUUGUGCAGUGGUGACUUUUGUGCCUCAUGGGGUACAUUCCUCAUAUCCCUGCAGGCUGCCAUGUCUGCCUGGUUCCUUAUAAAGAAGGCAGGAACCUGAAGGCGGUUGUCCUACCCGAGAUGUUAAGACCUGCAUCUGCGUGACAAUAGUUUUUCAGUCCUAGAAAGAAAGCAGAAAGCACCUAGACAGAAACGUUGCUUCUGUCGAGGAUCUCCAAAAUAGAUGGAUAUAAAUGAUAUUGAUUGAUUUUCAUUGAUUUUUUUUUUUAUUCCGUGGAGCCGGAGGAGUAUGUGAGCUGACAGUGCCGGUGGUUUCUAUUUUCUAUAAGAACCCCAGCAAAUUCUGACAUAAAUGUUUCCUGAACAUUUCGCUUUUUUUCCAGGAAACCUGCAUGGGAGAGCAGCGUCCAUCCAUGGGAACAAUGAGGCAUUCUGCUUUGUCUGCCUAUAGGAGCUGUGAGCUGUGCUCUAGCUAAGAAAUGCCAGCCACCUCAGCACGAUCUUUCUGCAUUUCACAUUAAUUUUAAGAACAGCGACUUCUGUUCUAGGGGCCCGGGCUGUGUAUAUUCUCCGUACCUCGCUCUUCUCUUCUCGGUUUUUCUCAAAUGGAUAGAUGCUUGCCGGGAGGAUGAAUGAGAAAAAUGGUGUGGUCCUGGGUAUUUAUUUCAUGACACUGCCCACAGGGGCUCGCUGGCCUGCAGGCGAGAUGCCAGCUACCAGCCCGUUGGUUCUUCUGUGAAAAGAUCCUUUCAGCUCUGACACCUCCUGGAGAGAGCUGAUUUUCCAGCAGUGGAGCUUGAUCGGGGUAAAUAAUUAGAGAGCUCAAGAGGGAAGAGACAUCACCCCAGUGCUCUCUCUCUCUCUCUCUCUCUCUCUCUCUCUCUCUCUCUCUGUGUGUGUGUGUGUGUGUGUGUUGUGUGUGUGUGUGUGUGUGUGUGUGUGUGUGUGUGUGUGUGUGUGUGUGACGCUGCUAAUGUAGCCAGCCCCUGUGACUCCAGGCUGAUACAGUCUUACAGCGUCUUUCUCUACAGCUGGGAGGGGGAAAGACAGGAGGGGGAGGGGGAAGCAGCAACAAAGCCUUGCUUUGCAUUGCCUUGAAAAACCAAAGAAAACAGCUCCUUAUCUGGUGUGAGGUGAACCUCCUUCAAACUGCUCUCCAGCGUCUUCUCUUCUGGAAUCUGCUUGCACAGGGCCAUUACCUGGGCACACUGACUUACUUCACGGACUUAUCAGGCUGUUGGAAUGUGCCGGACUCGGGGGUGGUGUAGACCGACCCUGGAGGGGCUAAUAGCUUGUUGCCGAGCCUUUACAGGUAUUCAUUAAAAGCCACUUUUAAAAUACAUUUACCAUUUAUAUGUGUAUCUCUUCAAAUAACUGCUAUUCUGAAACUUACUGGGUUUUUAUCCUGUCCUGUGUGGUAUUCGUGAAAACUUUCUAAGGUAGUGUUUCUCAACCUUCCUAAUGCUGCAACCUUAGGAACGGAUACAGUUACUCAUGUUGUGGUGACCCACAACAUAAGAUUAUUUUUGUUGCUACUUUAUAACUGUAAUUCUGCUACUGGUAUGCUAUAUCUGUGUUUUUUGAUGGUCGUAGGUGAUCUCUGUGAAAGGAUCAUUUGACCCCCCCAUGACUUCCAAGUUGAGAAACACUGACCUAAGGCAUAGUGAAGGGCUCAGGUUUUCUCUGCAUGUUUUUACUGAAGCAGGCCAAACUGAUUACUGAGAAAUAAUAAUUGGACUAAUGGUGUCUUGCUACUUAUGAGAAAGACACAGUUACUCAUGAAUAAUAUGAAAUAGGAUAUAACUUAAAUAUUAAAAUUACUAACUACCACAUGGUUGUAUAAUUACAAAGGCUCCUUAAUAAACAGGACCAGAGCUGGAAAAAUGUAUAAAAGAAAGACAGACCAUAGCUUUGGGGGCCUCUCUUAAGCUAAGUAAAACCCCCCGACCAGCAUCAAGACACGUAGCGGCCAGCUGGCUCCCUACUCAGGUUCAGAUUUACUCACUGUAAAACCCAGAAUUAGUGGACUUCAUCACUGGAGUCUUCCAUGAAGCCGAGGGAUAAAGGCUGCUUCAGUCACCAGCUUGGCAAGCCCUGCUGUGUCCUCGGUUUGUGACAAACUAUGAUAGCCUAGGUCCAUCCAGAGGGUAAAUCACCCACUGUGACAAGCUUGGUAGUCACCCUUCAAUGUUUUUCUUGCUAAAGCGUAUUCAGAUCAUACCUCCUCUAUCAAGACUCGCCCCUUCUUUCCUUCCUUCCUUCCUUCCUUCCUUCCUUCCUUCCCUUUCUUCCUUCCCUCCUUCUUUCUCUCCCUUCCUCCUUCCCUCCUUCCUUCCUUCUUUUCUUCCUUUCUUCCGUCCUUCCUUUCCUGCAUGUGUGUGUCCAUCCACCAACUUAUUUAAAAAGGCAGUUUGUCUUGGAACUAAAAGCAGCAAUAAUUGGUUGGUGCUAACCACCUACUUAACCAGCUUAGAAACUUCCUCCCCCUCCCCUUCCUCCUUUUCUCUACCAUCCAUUCUUCUCCCUCCCUCACUCCUUCCCUCCUUCCUUCCCUUCCUUUUCCCCUCCCUCCUUCCUCCCUCUUCCCUCCUCCCUCCUUCCUUCCCUUCCUUUUCCCCUCCCUCCUUCUUCCCUUUCCAAACCCUAGGGGCUUUUGAAGGCUGCUCUGAGGUUAAGGAGGUGUCAGAGAACUGGUCACCAGUGGUAGGAAGGUACGCACACUGGGCAUGGAGUGUGGGAGAGCCCACGAUGUUCUUGUCUUGGGUAGGGCAUAAGACAGUCUCUGGAGAACCUGGGGACGCUUCUCUCACUGUAGUGGCAGGGUCAAGACUCUGCGUCCUGGUGUCAUCAGAGAAACCUCUAAGGGAAGCAGAAUACAGAAUACGGGAACCCUGCCACCGGCAGGUCGGGCCCUAGCGGGCAGCAGUGCCUUUGUCUGCCUGCACCCCUCGCUGCGCUUCCCAAUGAUUUUUUAGCAACACAGAGUUGCCCCCCACUCCCUCCACCCCCUCGCGUCUGCAUGAGGUGAGCCUGCUGCAGCUGCGGGGUUCCUCUGACUUCGAAUUUCCUUAUUACACACACAAAAAGAGGUUCCUCCGGCAGGCAUCCGAUGGAGCCAUUCCAUCUGCUAAUGCCCGGGGAGGGAAGAAGACAUAUGUGCUUGGUCUGCCGCCUUAAACCAGGAGUCUGAAAGAUGGGUCUGAAGGCUGCAGGCAAGGAUCUCUUAGACUGAGGAUAAUAGACACCAGAGCCGCACUACCACAGACAUCUCCACCAGAAACGUGAGUUUCUCCAUAAGCGCAACAAGUCAGAUUCACAGACCGGAAGGAAUGGUUGUGUUGGGGUUCAUUGAGGACUUAGCAGAGGCUGCGUGAGGGACUGUGUCUGUGCUGGCAUCCACAGUCCCACAUGCUUAGCUGCCACUGUGCCCAUGGAACUAUUAGCAAAUGAAAUUAAAUACUUCAGUUGCUUAGUAACUAAUCCAGUCUAAGAAAGAAGCAAAAAAUAGAAUACAUAAAUUUAGAACUUUUAGGCCACGUGCCAAGCAAAAUAUUCUUGCUUUUACAUCCUUCCGAUUAUCUGCAAUUUGAAUGGGAGAAAAUAUAUUUCAGCGUCUAAGAGUAUGUGUUGAUAUUCCUUGCUAAAAGUGAAUUCUUCUCAUUGGUUGAGCACUCGUGAGACAUGGUCUGGCUUCCAGGUCGAUGCCACACUGGCCCUCAGAAGCCCAAGUAGAAGAUACUGGUGACUCUGGAAUUUAUUUUUCUGUCAUAAUCAGAAAGCCAAAAGGCAUUCGGUGAUUCCAGUCCUACGAAAGGAAAAGCAAAAAUCUGUCUUACAUAAUUUUGUAUAAAAUAAAAGCAGCAUUUCCUUUCCCAAGAGGUUUUCCAACCAAGACGCCACAACGUCUUUGUUUAAGUUUUUAUGCGACACAAAAAAGAAAUCACGGGUCACGUGAUGCUGGCGUUUGCAGAAAUACCACGAUGAAUAGAAAUUAUAGUAAUGCCGGUUGUUACCGUGUGACUUUGGCCUCCCUGGAGAGCAGUCUGUGUGAUUGUGGCUGCCAUGUUUCAGAACAGAAAGGAAAACAAGGGUAUUGGGGCGAGGUCUGAGUGGUCAGGAGCAUACUGGCUCUUCCAGAGCACCCCCUGGUGUCUUCACAGCCGUCUGUAACUCCAGUUCCAGGGGAUCCAGUGCCUCACAAUACAUGCCGGCUAAACAGCAAGAUACAUAAAAUAGAAAUAAAUGCAUCUCACGAGAAAAAGCUUAAGCCCUUCGGGAGUUCAUAUAUGUCUUUUAGGGUUUCAGCGUCUGUUCCCUGAGAACACAGCAAACUGUACAGUUGGGAAAGUGUGACAAUGCGGCGGUGUCUUGGCUCAGCUGCUUCUUGUAUUGAGUUGGCUGAGGUGGUAAAGCGUCAGACUCUGCCUUCUGACUCUCCUCCUUUCCCCAGGGAUGUCCUUCACGGAAGUCUCCUUCUUCUCUCGGCCCAGGCAGUAAGGCUGCAUUUGCUCAGGAGGUCUCUGCUGCUGAGUACCAAGCCCCGCUCCUACACUGACGUUUUUUAUGUGAGAACUGAGAAUGUGCCUCCAUUCAGAUUCUUCUGCCCUUACCUCAUGAAAUGGAAGGCCCUUUUUUUUUCCUUUUGAAAAUAUUUUUAAGAGAUUUAUUUAUUUUAAUAUUUUUGUGUGUGUGAGUACCUGCGUGUACGCAUGUGCACCUUUCGUGUGCUGAGUGCCCUAGGAGGCCAGAAGAGAGCUUCAGAGUCCCUGGAACUGGAGGAACUUGUGGUUGUGAGCCCCAUGUGGUGCCUGGAGCUGGGCCCUGCACCCUCUGGAAGAGUAGAGUUUCUCUUAACCUCUGAGCCAUUGUUAAUCCCAUGGGUGUGAGGAGAAAGAUCACCAACCCUAAUCGUCAUGGUCAGAUUAAUUAAAGCGAGUGCUUUCAUUUGUGUGCACAGGCUGCCUCUCUCUAAAGGUGGGAUUCAAGAGAUCAGCACUGGACAUGGGGAAGAUAGGGGUUUUGUUACUCAGAAGUAGGGAGUUUCCUAACAGGAUUUGGCAGGAAAAUGGGCGGAGUCACAGAAGCAGAACAUGAGCUUAAGGAGCCAGUCAUAGCUCCUGAGACAAAGACGUGGCUGUAAGGUGGGCAUAACGAGGUGAUCAUGACACCAUUUAGAAGCAAUGGUGUGUCUGCCGUUUCCUGGAACGGCCAGUGCAGAGCCGUUUGUAGUUAAAGUUACAGGUGGGGCAUAGCCCAGUCCUGGAGAAACAGAUUUAAUCAUAAAUAGGAAUGAACCCUGUUUGUUCUUACUAUGAGGUGGAGGCAGGCUGUUUUAUCACCAUCUCUACUGCCCCUGAAGGCACAUGUUAAACCAUGUUUUACAGUGUUCCUCGGUGCAGUCUAAGCCCUUUGGGUGGGUUAUCAAGUUCAAAAUGGCUAGCAAAGAUGACUCCUGUCACUCCAGAGUGUGGCCAGCCUAGGCAUGGCUCUUGGCUUUGAGUGCCCAGCCACCCUGCUAGCCUAGUACCCUGUGCUCAUCCUCCUGUCUCAGCUCUCCCGUAUGCUAACACUCAGCCUUCGGUAGACACUCCCUAACAAGCAGGGACUUGCUCCAACAUAGAAAAGCAGUCAGUUGGCUGAGCAUGAAGCCUGUUUUUCUCCACUCCUGUGUGGAGCUACAGAGCUCAGGGAAAAUGCACUUCCGUUUGCAAUGAACCCAACCAUUUAAAUGUUCUUCUGUCCGUAAGUUUAGUUUUUAUAAGAAUCUUAACCAUUUACAGAAAGGUUGGCCGAUACGUUGAAGGGCUAAGAAUGAGGGGUGAAGGUCACUGGCGAGGCCAGAAGAUUAGUAAAUAACAGUUCAACGUUAAGUUCAGGCAUGCUGGGGUCCAGCGCAGUGGUGGAAAGCUAACGUGGGUGAAGCACUGGUUGGACAGGAUGGAGAUUUACAUUCAAGCCAGCAAAAUAAAGAUAUAAUUGCCCAGUCUUGAACUGAGGCCCCACCAUACACCUGGCCUUUCAGCACUAGGUUCCAUCAGGGAAGGGUUUCAUGCAUGCUGUGGAUGCACAAGGUAGACGCUGUACUCAGCAUUCGCUGCUGAACAGAUCAUAGGAUUUCCCAUCCUUAAGGAUUUUCUUUUUCCACGGAAAGGUAUUUGAUGUACCUAGUGGGGAAAAAUACAAGAGGUGGGAAUAAACGCUACGAUCGGAAUCAGCUGGGUUAGCAUGAAACCCAGGAGCAGCACCAAGACGUCCUGCAAGCCCUGGGCUCUGGUCCCUGAUGAAUAACCUACCUGUGGGAUUUGAGCUGGCACAUCUCUGCUCAGGCCUCCUGUCUGCUCCCUCUUUUCCACCGGGCUGGAUGAGGAGAGGUUGCAGAGAGCAGCCGACGCGGUCUAGGAGCUCUUUGCAGUCAGUUUGUGGGAGGAAGUGUCAAGCUCUGUGAUAGCUAGCUCUCAGAGGCAAGGCAAGGUGGCCAUUUUGGAUUGAAUCUGGGUCAGGGAUCUGAAGGUAACCAUCUAAAUAAUCUGUUCAAGAAGUUAAUAGAGUAUGUUUACUUAACCUAAUUCUCACAUCAGAACUACGGUCAGCUCGAUGCAAACCUAGACGUAUCUGGGAAGAGGGAAUCAUAACUGGGAAAACACUUCCCCUCUGUAAGACUAGCCGAUAGGUAAGUGUGUUGGGUAGUGUCCUGAUUGUUGACUGAAGUGGAAAGGUCCAGCUCUCUGGGGGCAGUGCCAGUCAUAGGUGGGUGGUCCUUGGGUAUAUAAUAAAGCAGACUGAACAGAUACUGGGCAGCAAGUCAGUAAGCAGAGUUUCUUUGUGGCUUCUGCUUCAGUUCCUGCUUCCAGGUUCCUCUCUUGAGUUCAUGCCCUGACUUCCCUUGGUGACAAAAUGAGACCUUAGAUAAUUUGUUUUUCCUCCCCAGUUACUUUUGGUCACAGCAUUUUGUCACAGCAAUAGAAACCCUAACUGAGACAAUGGUGCGAGAGAUUUAGAAUAGAUGUCACCUCGUUCCUGCUUCCCAGACACUGUGUGGCUGGUCAAUGUUAGUUUUUAUCACUCUGAUCGCAUCCGUCCAAAAUCCAAGCCAUGUAAGGCUCUCUUCUGUUAUUUACCUUCCAAAUUCAGAAGGUAAAGAACUAAGUUAUUGCUUCAGCUAAUAUUUUCUCACAUCUCGGCAGCUCGUCUUCACCGUCAACUUGACUGGAUUUAGAAUCACCUGGGACAUACACUUCCCGGUGUGUCUGUCUAUUGGAAGGUUUCCAGAGACAUUUAACUGAGGAGGGAAGACCCACCCUAAAGGUGAAUAGUACUCUCCCACAGUCUGGGGUACCAGGCUGAAUAAAAAGGGAAAGGAGAGAAAGUCACUGAGCUGUGACCGGACACGUAGGCCCCUGCCGCCAUGCCUUCCCCAGCAUGACGGACCACUAGCCGAAAUAAAUCCUUCCUUCCUGAAAUUGGUUUUGUGGAGCAUUAACAAUGAAAAAAAACAAUUACAUCUUUUAAAGUCACUUGUAUAGCAUGGAUUUGGGUACAGAAGAGGGGAACACUGUAUCCAUCAGGGUUUAAUUAGAAAUAAUCUUCUAUGUCAUUGAAACGGAUUCUUUUAGAAUCUACCUGGGACACUUGAAUUAUGAAUUUAGCUGUGAGCCGUUUUAAAACCGGUUAUCUCCAAAGAAGAUAUGCUUUUACCACAACUUGAUCUGUGGCACUCACCUGGCAGUCGGGGAGCCACACAGGCCCCGUGGCCCUGGACAGAACCUCUGUAUUCAGCCUGGUUCCCUGACUGCCCCAGGGCUGGCCUUCUCCAUAGUCUAAAGUAACCCCACCAGGCCCCUCCCCACACAAAGCUCUGGAUCCCCUGUUCCACGUUCCAUGUCCUAAGAACAAGCUCCCAUGACAUAUGGUUGGCCCACCCACUCCCAGAGAACACUAGCUGAAGGGCCUAGAGGCUCACUCCUCCCAGGAUGCCCUUCCGCCUGUCUUUCCUCUGCACUCGUCUCCCAAGGCAAAAUCCUGGGAAACUGGCAAGGCUGCCUGUCAGAACCGUAACUGAACAAUUCCUGCUCUUACUAAGGUAGACUUCCUGGAGAGACUCCUGCCAGCAGAACUUCACUAACGUCAACAGAGCAAGGCCAGCUGGUCAUGCCUUCCUGCCUUCAUGGUCUUGGAGAAAGUUCAAGGAGUCUGACCCCUGAAUGGCAAAUGGGUUCUACAGCAGUGAAAACACAAGGCAGGGCCAGGAAUUCCUCAGAGGACAUGUGUGCCAUGUUAGUUUGUGACCUCAUAAACUUCCUAAGCCACAGGAAGGGAAGUGGGAGGAAAGGGAAGAAACCAACCGGUAAAGCCUGGGUGUCCCUGUUUCCUGUGACUUUCAUAGCCUCUUCUGCCACCAUGUCUCAAUCUAUGUUCUAAACUGGGCCAGAAAAUAAGGUCCCUUUACAGAGUGCCUACCCCCUAAAGGGAGUGUUCUCAUCCAGGGUGAGAACCCAAGGGUGGGGGCGCUAAAGCACAAUAAAGUAAAUAAAAGAUCUUCCGUGUGGGAGAGGAGCACCUUUAGUAUUUACAGGCAAAAGUAACCUGGAGCACAGAACUGAAAGUCUCAGGCUCCAAAGAGGAGUCCACGCUAUGGACAGACAGACAUGGGAGUCCUGACACACAGACACAGGAGUCCUGGCAGCCUUCUACAUCAGUGAACCUGUGCUAUGGGCACACAGACCCAGGAGUCCCAGCAGUCCUCCAUGUCAGUGAGCCUGCACCAUGGGCACACAGGCACAGGAGCCUCAGAGCCCUCUGCGGUGAGAAUCACUCAGCAUGGCUUAGAUCCUCUAUGGGAUGCAUCCAGCACUCCCCUCCCCAGCCCACAGCCCACGUAGCUGCAGUUAUGCCCGCAACAUGGUCCCCUGGGGAAUGCCACUCAUCACACACGUUAAAGGCAGCAUGUCGAGGUUCAUUGUUUCGCGUUUUUAAUCUCAGACACCAGUGCAGAAGCCCAAGAUGUUUAUUAUAAUUUUGCAGACACCGCCAACAAAAGCUUUACUCAUGGAGGAAAAAUUAAAUGUUAAGGUUGUGUGGAUGAUAGGGGAGGGGGAGCCAUGGAAGGCUCAGAAGGAUAGAGAGGGGAAGCUGUCAUUUCCUUCAGGGAAGAAAAACAGGGUGAGUCAUAAACAUAGCUUCGUUUUCAGGCCGGCAGUUCUUACAGUAAUGUGUUUUGUCAGGCAGGUCCUCCAUACAGAUUAACAUGAAAUGCCCACCGAGGUCCACCUCUCGGCCCUCGUGUCUGGGAACACCGAGGAGUGUUUUGAUGAAUGUCAGUUAAUGACACUCACGCUCUUGAAAUCAGCCCUGGCAGCCAGGGCUGGGGGCUGGGGGAGGGGAGUGCCCGUACAGAGAGGAGGCAGGGAAGGUUGUUCCUGGAUUCCUAAUAACCCACCUCGAAGGUGGACCAGAAACAAAAUCAGGAUGUCAAGACCGGUGAGCCUGCCGGGGUUAUCAGGCCCAAAGCUUGGAGCACAAUUUCCAAAAGUCCCCUGGUAGGAGGUAUUUGUGCUUGAAGAGCACAAGGCAGGGCUGAUCUCAGUGGAGGCGGAAGAGCAGCCACUGAUGUCCUGGGACCUUACGGCUAUUCCUCAGUAGUUAACACUUCUGACUCUGUCCCCUCCCUACUCCAUCCAGACACAAACCAGACCUGGAAGACUUGGCCUGCCCAGCCCUUUGUGAUUGUAGCAUUCAGACUUUCAGACCCUGAUAAACCUGAGGAAUUCAAUAAAGGCUGAGGCUGCAACAGCUCUCUGUCACUCGCAGACUUAAAGCCCUCCUCUCCAGUGACUGGCAGGUGGGAUGCUCUCAUUCCUCAGGCCUUCCUCUUGAGCUUGACUGGGAGGACUUAGCGUUGGAUUAUUCUCUUACUGUUGGGAGGAAGCGCUGUCAGUGGAAAUUGCUGACUAAUUUUCUGGUUGUGUAGCUGACAGUUAAUGCCUAGGUCUGUUAAUCCUCACGAACAAAGGCUGACAGGCUACCUUGGUGUCCUGCACACAGUGGCGGUAGCCAUCUCCCUGGCUUACCUUCGGUGCUUACAUGCUUUUGAAUGGUUUGUGUUUUGAAUAGCUGCUCGCCAAAGUCUACAGCACCGUGCCCAGCUUCUUAGACAUUAAAUCAUGAAGGAAAUCAAGAUCCAGGUGGAAAAUUCUCUUCUUGUGAGCAGAACAGGGGUCCCAAAGGCAAGAAUAAAACUAAAACACUCUGGGCUCCCCUGUUCUCAUUUGUGCCCUGUGAGAUGGCUCCUCCCCCCUCCCCCUCCCCCCCUCCUCCCCUCCUCCUCCCCUCCUCCUCCUCUCCCUCCUCCUCCACAUCAUCAGGAGUGAUCUGCCCAGCAGCCCACACUGUCCCCAUUCUACCCGAGAGGAGAAUAAGAUACAUGCGUCAGGGGAACUACAGAGCAUCAGUCUUAAGCAAAGUCACAAUGCUCUCUGAAAAGCUUAUCUUUCAGAAGGAUUUUAACUAUCAGACAGGCACCCAGGGCACAUACCUGGAAUCCCAGCACGUGGGACACAGAGGCAGCAGAGGUAGCAGGGGCAGGAGGGCCAUGAGUUUGAGACCAGCCGAGACUAUAUAGCAGGACACUUAGUCAAAAAAAAGUGGGAGGUUGGGUGUGGUAGCAGGAGACAUAGCUCAGCUGGUAAAAUGUUUCUCCUUCAGCCUAAAGACUUAAAAUCAGUUCCCAGAAGACACAGGAAAAAGCUGUGUGUGGUGGCACUUGCUUGCAAGUCCAAUUCUGGGGAGAAAAAGGCAGGAGAGCCCCGAGGCUGGCAGACAAGCCAAGCUAACUUAAUGAGCAAGCCCUAGAUCCUAAUGAAACUCUGUCUCAAUAAACAAGGACAGUUCCUGAGGAAUGGCACCCAAAGGUGUCCACUCACCUCCACAGGUGCCUUAGGGGGAGGCGGAUCACUCCAGAUGAUAUGGGGGAGGUACCAUCACAAGACACAGCAGAGAACAAGGGAGCCCAGAGUGUUUCAGUUUUAGUCCUACCUUUGGGACCUCUGUUCUGGUCACAAAAAGAAAAUUUUCUACCUGGCCCAUGAUUGCCUAUGAGAAUUCCUUUAUGACUUAGAAACUUAUUUAUCCUCAUUGCCAAAGAAAUGAAAAUAAAAAUAAGUUAACUACCAACUGGGAAGAGUACCUCUUGUACUUGCACACCAGUGCUGAGCUUUUAAAGCUUUUAGUCUUGCACACUCUGGGCAAUAAUUAUUCUCAAACCCUAAGAUGAUUUCCAAGAGCUGAGUUCACAGCAGAGGGCUGCCUUGUACAUUUAGAACUAGCGUUACGGAAGGGAGGGGCUUUUAGACAGGAAAAUGGAGAAUAUGUCCACCACCUUCUGCAGCAGCCUACCCAUCCAGAACCUGCCCACCCUCCCCCUUCCAUGAUUAGGGGUACCCUGCACUGCUGCUGGUUCAUCAUCUGGAGAUUACAAAGGUGCUUACCCUGUUUGGCCCUCCUUUCACUGGAAGCACAUGCAACUGGUAGGGAUGUAUCCAUUUUCUCACUCCCAAACCAGGGUUAACGAUACCCUCACAGUAGAUGACCUCAUUAGGGUUUCUAUUGCUACAAUGAAAAACCAUAGCCAAAAAGCAAGUUGGGAAGGAAAGCAUUUAUUGGGCUUACAUUUUGAUACACUGUUCAUCAUAAAGAAAGUUAGGACAGGAACUCAAACAGGGCAGGAACCUGGAGGCAGGAGCUGAUACAGAGGACAUAGAGGGGUGCAGCUUACUGACUUGCUCUCCAUGGCUUGCUCAGCCUGCUUUCUAAGAGAACCCAGGACCACCAGCCCAGGGAUGGCACCACCCGUAAUGGGCUGGGCCCUCCCCCACCAUUCACUUAUUAAGAAAAUGCCUCACAGUUGGGUCUUAUAGAGGUAUUUUCUCAGUUAAGGUUCCCUCCUUUCAGAUAUCUCUAGCUGUGUCAAGUUGACUUAGGACUAGCCAGCACACAAGAUGACUACCAGGUGGGAGCUGAGGUACAUGGAAUGAGACAGUAGGUCUCGGUGUUUUCCGGAACUUUCAAGUCCUGCCAAGUGUCUCUUGUCCCUCCUCAGCAGCCUUAAACUAGGCUACUGCUGACUUUUAGUUUUUAGGCUGAGUCUCUGGUGUCUGGAACAGCAAGGUGCUCUGAAGGUGAACAUUUUUCUCAGGCCCCAGCCCAUGGAGACUAAUUCAGAAAAGCAACUGCAUUGGGCCAGAGAGUACCAGGGAACAGCCUCAAACUCCUAGGCCUAGUCAGAACUGGCGAGCUACCUCAGACUCCUGGGCCUGCUUCAGGCUCCUUCCUCCCCAACCCCUCCUUCGGUUUCAAGAUUACACUCUGGCAAAACACUAAAAUCGAAGCGAUUAUCUCUGUCAGAGAAUUUCAGUUCCUGAGCCAGUUACCACUGGCAGAAAUGUCAGAGGUCCCUGGAAAGGCGGGAGAAUUUGGGUCUGAGAGCCCAGACCUUAGCCCUGAAGAGAGAGGGUGUCUGCCCCACAGGGCACAGGAGUGGUUAGGUGACUGAAGUAGGACUUCAGGCUCUACUUCCAAAAGUUCUUGGCAUAAGGUGUAUGGAAUAUUCUAGAGAUACAUAUGGUAUAGUGUAUGUACCAUAAAUAUUCCAUAUGUCCACUUCCUUAAGCCCAUCUCUACAGCAGACCUGGAAGAUGAUCUCUUACCCAGGUCCCAGGUAAUGUGUGCCUUAGAAGAGCAAGAAACCGGAAGAACAGCGUGUGGUGGCUGGGUGCUGGGUUCUCUGGUUUCAGAAGGUCACAAUGAGCAAGCUCUGGGUAUAAGGUAGUCGUGAUGACUAAUGGGCUCCAAAAUGUGUGCUUAAUGUUGGCAGCCUUGGUUAUAUAACACUGCCCAUUGCUUUUACUCUGAGAACCUUCAUCUAUGCAUCCCCAAACUUGAGGCCAUCUUCCCGAUGCUGCUUUCUGAACCCUGAGAUUUACGGGUAUCCACCAUCACACCCAGCUUUGAUAUUGGGGAGAAAACGUUUCCAAGAAUGUGGUGGACCCUGGGAAAUAACGGGCCCCAUUCCCAAAGGCAUUCUUAAGACUGGCUGUUAGAGUGUACACCGCCCCUCGGGGCUCGCCUGCCGGAGUUGUCUUGGGAACCCCUCACUGUGUUGUUGGGGCUCAUCUCUGUGGAGACAAGGAAGCCUGUGUGAGUUCUCAGCCAUGGUGACUGUGGUAAAUGAAGGUGACUAUAAAUCUUUAUUCACCCCAUUUCUCCUGCAGUAAAGGCGGGAGACUCAGCUAAUUACAAAGUCUGUCUUGAUGACCACCACCUCAGGAACUCAGGUCUCUGUGGGUGCCCCAUGAGAACCUCGAGAGUACAGCAUGUCCGCCCAAAGCCCCUGCCAACCUAGUCAGUUAACUCCGGGAAGGAGCUACUUUGCUUUCCUUUGCUGUUGGGAGCCCACUGUAGCAGUAAAGAAUUAGUGCCAGCCAUGAACCGGAGGCUGCUUUGAGGAAGCGCUGAAGACAUUUGCAAUAUAGGGACAAGCCCUUACAACCUGUGAUUUUUUUUUUCCAUAAAAACUGCUAAGCUCCCUCCAGGAAAGCUUGCUUCAAGCUCUUCUUUCUCAGUCUCUCUGUUUAUAAAACGGAGACAAAACCGACACCUGGUGUCACUAGGUCUGAGGUCUCUUCAGCUGAGAAGACACGGUUGUAAGGGUUUUACUUUUCCUUUCUCCCUGGCUUUUCUUAGAAUCUCUGUAACUGUGUGUGGAGCCUCGAGCCGGGAGGGGACGAGGAAUGGCACUGGCUGGUUGUAUAUUUGCGGCAUUACACACCAUCUCUCUUUUUUUUCUGGCAAUGUGUGACGAGACUGGGGGCGGGGGUGGGGAAGUCUGGAAAGGUCAGUGUCAGAGAUGCACAAUCAGAGACAGCGCCAGCCCUACAACAGGAACUCCAAUGCUCUCUGCCUGUAUUUGAAAGGCCUAUGAAAGCACUAAAUCAAACAGGAACUGAGCGGUACCUCCAGGGGACUGUGAUAGCUGUGCCCUAGCUCUUUGUCAAAGAACUUGUUCACACAGGAGAAAGCCCUGCAUGGAAGCCCUGGCUGACAGAGCCCCCUCACCUCCCCCCAUUCUGACCCUCAGUUUUAUAACCUAGCUUCUAGUCAGGCCAGCAGGAUCAGAAACCCUCCAUUGGCCAUGAAGCUCACCCGAGUUCCAAAGCUGCUUUGGCUGAGGAUGAAGUGUGGACGUCCUUGGAGAAUGAAGACUGAGGCUGUCUCAGGGGGACAACAGGGCAGUGGGUUUAUUCUGGGCCAGCUGGUGAGGUCUGAAUUGGUGAGAGCUACAGCCUCAGACCAAGCACGUGUGGUUUGGUUUUGAGACUCAGAGGUGUUGCUAAUCCUGUUUUAGCAAUGGAGAAACUGAGUCACAGGCCAGCAUAGGAUAUAGCAUUUCCAGGUAAGACAUCACCUCUGGAUUAUAGAGAUGUAUCCUGAUGUCCUCCACCCUCUGUGGCAAAAAGACUUUACCUUGAGCAAAGCCUAAGGAAUUUUUGUUUAAGUAUUCCUAUUUAGUGAUGUCAAUACUUAAUUAUGCAGAGAGUUAUCAGGGAAGCCAUGUUGCUCCCUUCACUCUGGUAUCUUACCUUGUGUUUCUCACCUUCCCAUUUCUCCCAUGAGUACUCAUGUAUGGAGCGCCUCCGUGUGCAGUAAGCUGCCUCCUGUUCCUAGAAUUCCACAGUGUGUGUGUGUGCGUGUGUGUAUGUGCAUGUGUGUGUGUGCGUGUUCCUGUGUACAUGCCCAUCUGUGCACAUGUGUGUUAGAGACCAAAGAUCAAUAUCAGCUGUCAUUCUUCCAGGAGUCAUCCAUCUUAUUUUUGAAACGGGGUCUUUCAUUGAACCUGGAACUCACUGACUGAGCUAGAGUUGCUGUUGAGAAAGCCCCAGGAAUCCUUUCGCCUUCCACCCCUCAACAUUUUCAAUACAGGUAAGUGCCACUCCUGGAGAUCUAACUGAGGUUCAAGGACUUGAACCCAAGUCCUGAUAGCCUUGCAUGAACCACUUUCCUGAGACUGAGCCGUUUUUCCCAGCCCCUUAAACACACUGUUGAAGUGUAGUCCAGUACUCCAGGCGACCUCAGUGCCAGCUACAGGGCAGCAUCAUCAGCUGCUGCAGUAAACCCCACAAAGUCCAAUCACAGUCUGCAAGGCCAGUGGUCCCUGUGCCAAGGUAGCCGUUAAGCUGCCUGGAGCAGUCGGGACUUGCGGCUUGGUCUUUGAUUUGCUGGUCAUUUUGCCACACAGCGGCUGGGGAGUGUGCUGGGUGCCUGCAGGUCUGAAAGUGAUGCAGGUGUGAGGCUGUGUUUCCACUGUCUUCCCAGCUAGGGCUGCACUUUCGAGAGGUGGGGACUCCCUCGUUCAUUCUCAGAAGCCAUCCCUGAGCACUGGUUGGCCUAUCCGUAACUUAUUCUAUCCUGGAGCAGAUCUGUGAAUGUUCCUUCCUUCCAUUAAAGAUUUAUUAUCCUCCACGACUUCACUGAUGGCUGCACUUUUAAGAAGAGAAUGUCUUGGGAGAAAUACUGGACAGAAGGCAAACCUAUCAUGGCAAAAGUCAUGGGACCUUUCAAGAGAAUCAUCGCAGGGCCUCACAGCGGGAUUGUGGGAAGGAAGUGGGUCUGCUGAGGACAGAUGCAGUCAACCAGGCAGUUCAGGGCCUCAUAUGCUGGGCCAGGUCCCCAGACCCUAACUUCUUUUCCUCCAUGAGAAAAACUACUCCUCCAGCUCCAUAGUUGUGUGUUUUAUCUGACAAGGGAGCAUUUGGUGCUGUGAAAAUGGAAUUGCCAAGAACCCCCACUCGCCGAGGAAGAGACAACAGCUCGUUUGCUCUGGGCCUUGAGCCUUUCAGAAAGUCUAGAACUUCCCUGGAAGUUCUGAUGGAGCAGGCAGGGACGGGGUCCUGUAGGUAAUGACCUUGCAGCCAGCAUGAUUGAGAAGAAUUAUCGCAGCUUUGAACUGUUUGUGGUAUGUGUUUGUCCUCCCCUUUUAUUUGCCUCCCCGGGCUGGUGAAGGGGUUGUGGAUUUCUGGAGAUAUGUGCAGACCGCAGCUCUUAUUACCCAGGGGCAUGUCCCUAAAAUAGAGGGUCUUAUAGGAAGUUCCAGGGGGCAGGGAGGUAUCUUUCAGCAGAGCCUUACUAGAGCUCUGAAGGAAGUAGCUUUGUGUGUGUGUGUGUGUGUGUGUGUGUGUGUGUGUGUGUGCACGUGCGCACCUCUAUGGUAUGUGGAGGCAUGAUUGGGUAACAUGAUUGGGGAAGGCAAGGGACCUACAACCCAUUCCACAGUUCCUCAGGGUUGAUGGAUUCCCACAGGGCUCUUCACUUCCUGUUGUUAUCCAACCCCCUUAACUAGCCCAGGACAGAGAUGAGGACAGUGCUCAGGAGAGAGGGGGGGAAUUGUGGGAGGAUGACACAGAUUCAGAUUCAGAAAAGCAGAAUUUCAACAGCAAAGUAAAAGGAAGUCAAGAUGUCUUAAAAUCACCAUAUUUGAAUUAUUUGAGUAGAGACCACUAAGCACCUGUCCCUCAACUCAGGCCCUAGGAUCCCAAAGACAUGGAGACCUGGUGCAUAGCUAACACUGAUUUGGAUAAAAAGAGAAAGGGAUAUAUCACACCCAUGCACGCGUGUGCACAAAUACACACACACACAGACACAUACACACACGCACAAACACACUCACACGCACGCACACAGACACAUACACACUUAUACACACACAGACAAAUACACACACACAGAGACACAUACACACACACAGACACACACAGACCCACACACACUCACAGACACACACACAGACACACACACACACUUAUACACACACACACACAUACACACACACUCACACACACAUGCACACACACGCACACACACACACUCAUACACACACUCACACGAACACACACACACACACGCACACGCACACACAUGCACACGCGACACUGGACUUGAGAUGUGGAAAAAAACUCCAGUAGCAUGUAUAAAACGAAUUUGCUGACUGUGAUUUGCUCACAUGACACAGACAUUGUCUUCCCAAAGCCCUACUUAUUGUUCUGCUACCAAACCUAAUUUUCCUCUGCUCCCCCCACGAAAGCUACACCCACAUUCCUAGACCCAUCACAGAAAAAGCUCUGCCUCCCAACCUCCCAAGAUGAAUUACGAGCCAGGGCCAUGUGUCUAGCUUGGAGCAUGAUUGAUCUUUGCAGAGGAAAUGUUCAGGGUUGCUAAUGGGAAGCUAAUGUCUCUUAUCCGGGUGCACAACGUUCAGAGAUGUUCGCAGUCGCUAGGUAGGCAAGACUUGCUCCAGACCACGAUGGAGAAACUGUCUUCUCAGCAAUGCAGAGGCAGGCUUCGGUGGGCCUCCCCUGGGCCACUGAGGCCAGACAGUCAGAACUGCUAAUUUUUGCAAAUAGCCUGAUUCCACCGUGUUUAAUUAGCGUGAUCCUACUCAACAGAUUGGCAAGUGAAAACUGGGUUAAGGUAGGGGUGUGUGUGUGUGUGUGUGUGUGUGUGUGUGUGUUCGUAAAUGUUCUAAUCAUUGUGGUAUGCUAGGUGCUGGGGUUGUCAUAAGACUAUUUUUACAUGUACCCUCAUCCUACUUCCCCCCAAAAACACCUCAAAUACAAUAUUCAUCAAAAUAAUGAAGAAGACCAGGAUGUAGCUCUAUUGAUAGAGUCCUAACCGAGUAAGCACAAAUCUGUGGGUUCAGUCCCCAGCAUAAACAUAGCCUUGUGCUGGAUACUUAUAAUCCCAGCACUUAGGGGUUACAGGCCGAAGGAUCAGAAGUUCAAGACCAUUCUCAGCUACAUAAGAAGUUGGAAACAAGCCUGGGAUGUAUGACACCCUGUCUUUAAAAUACAUAAUAUAAAAAAAAAAAAAGAAAGAGCAAACAUGAGAUUGAGGCAUAGCUCCAACUUGGAAUUGGUGACUUGGGAAGCCCAUCCAUGCCCCCAGAAGCCAUUAUAUCACAUGAAAGAUGUAUGUCUGUAUGUCGCAGCUCAGUGGCCUAGAGAACCAGCAGCUCAGGGUUCAAGCCCGGGCUCUGUGGCAUCUGCUAGCUACAGCCGCAGCUACCAUGAUCAAUCGUCAUGCCUAUGCCCCAGUUUCCUUGGAUGGGAAACUGGUAAAACAAUAGCCUCUCUUUCUGGUCAAAACUCAGAAUGACAGGGCAAGGCCUGACAGCUGAGUAGUUAAAGGCACCUUCUCCAGAACCCAUAUGAUGGGUGGGAAAAAAACAAAUCCCACACGUUGUCCUCUAACCUCUGUACAAGCUCCCUGGUUUGCACACCCCCCACAUAAUAAACAAACAAACAAACAAAUGGUUUUGUUCUUUUUAAGAAAAGGUAACAACGUGGUGCAGAAUCUGAUGACAAGGGCAUAGUGUGGGUUCUGAGGAGCUCUAUAAGGAUCUGGGAGAGGAAAAGAAAGGAGUGGGGGUGGCUGGGUUGCUGAAGGCAGUGUACUGUACCUGCCUCUACCAAAAUAAGUUUGUCUUCACGGCAAAGGUGGAGAAUCCUGAAAUGACACAUCUGACCCCAGGUUGUUUUAAAGCUCUAUGUCAAGGCCAUUAGGAAGACAUGUGAACAUUCACAGCAGGUCCGUGGUCAGCCGUGCCUCAUUUGGGGCAGUUUCAAAUAUACACAUGAAUGCCACAAGUUAAAAGUACAUCCCAUAUGCUCAAGUCAACAGACAGGCUGCGUGGGGCUUAGGCUGUUCAGACACAAGCCGUUCGGUAACUCGUCCAUGAUGAGACAACGGUAUGGCCACUUUACUUCCUGAGCCUGAGUCAGAAGCCCAGUGCUAUGUUAGUGGGUUUUCACCUCCUCCAGUGUAGUGGUCUCUCCAUGAAUGCUGUGGAGAGACUAGAAGGCAGGAACCCAGGGAUGUAGUUCAGUUGGUAGAGUCAUGGACUAGUAAGCACAAAGCUGGUGAGGAUCAGAAACAAAGCCCUUGCAGGGGACUCCAUAGCCACAAAGCCACAAGAGGUAUUUCCUGUGUUUUUAGAAGUAUGCCAGGCAGGUUCUUCAGCUCUACCUUUUGGGUUGAGGCUAUUGCUUUGGGUCAUUUAUUUUAUUCUUUGGUGUGUUUGUUGUUGUUGUUGUUGUUGUGUUUGGUGUUUUGUUGUUAUUUUGUUUGCCUUUUUGUUUGGUUUUGUUUUUGAGACAGGGUCUUGGUAUGUAGCCCAGCCUAACCUGGAACUCAAGACCCUCCUGCCUCAGGUUAACUAAUUUGCCCAGAGUCACAGCAGCGACCCAGGGGCUGGGAUAGAAUCACUGGGCCUGUGCUUACUUUCCUUACAGUGCAUCCUCAGGCCCACCAAAGUCUGCCAGGAUGAUGCAGAAGGCCACGCCACAGGAAGAAGUGAGGUAAACAGGUUUCCUCAUUGCUUUGUUUCUGUAAUGAUCAGAUAGGAGAGUGGAGUUCCUGUCUGAAGAUCCUCAAAGACAUGCCUGUGUGACACUUUACCACCUACUCAGUGUAGGCGCGAUCAGUUUCCAGACCCAUGCAAGUGUGAGCUCUCCUUCCCCUGAUGUUUGCUGAGUAUAUGCCAAUACUGUUCUGCAUGGCUAACAUGUAUUCUGCAUGGCUAACAUGUCUCAGUGACCAAAUCCCCGGACCUGUCAUAUGCAGAGGGUUUGUGGUAUGGCCUUUUUAUAAAUGAGCCCCCAUGAAGGCCAGGAAAAGAAACCACGUGCUCCAAGUCAGAGCAGAAGAUAGCUUCCCUAGGAUCUGUUUUAAUGUUUGCUUCUCUACAACACAGGGUCUCAUGAAGCCUGGGCUGGCCUGGGACUCAACUGUGUAGCUGAGGCUAGCCUUGAACUUGAUUCUCUAGUGUCUCUACCUCUGGAUACUGGGAUUAUAAGCAUGUACCACCACGCCCAACUCAUGAGGUGCUGCAAAAAGAACCCAGGGCUUCCUGAAUGCUAGGAAGGCACGCUACCAACUGAGCCACAUCCCCACACCCUCCUCUGGGGAUAUACCCAGGUUCAAAUCCAAGGACUUAGCGACACACAUGCUAUGGGAUCUGGGCAUGCUUCUAACCUGUCUACUGAUGGCGAAAGCCAGAGAGCCCAGCUUCCCGUUUUAAGCUGUCCUUGGCACGUUUAACUGGUGGCCAUGUGGGACUGCUGGAAAAAGUUUUUGAGAUCACCAAGAGCUUUGACUUUCCUGCCCACAAAAACACAAUCAGCCUUGGCAGAUGUCCAACACGUGACCUUAGGUCCAUUUAAUGAAAACUGUAUUGAUUCAAAAAGAAAGAAAGAAAAACAAGAUGAGGUAGGACAGGCAGCAGAGAGAUCAUGACAAAAAUCUUAUGUGUCCUUCCUUCCACCAUUGCCGUGACCAGACAGGGCCACGGAGCCCAUGUGAAGGGAUCAGGACAGUUGCUUUGUUAACACACAAGCGCAGCGUGACACGAGCUCCAGAAAAGGCAUUGGCAGGAUUAACCUGCUGGGGAUAAAGAUGCAGCAGACAGGACCUGAAUUAAUGGAUCGCUGUGGCCAAAGUGAAAAAAGUCAAUUUGCAUGUAAUAUUAACGGUGCUAAUAAAAUCCACGCCCAGCCCCUCCAGCCCAGGAGCCUGUGUGAACCAGGACUUCAUUCCUGCACAUCCUAUCUCCAGCAUCUGCCAAGAUGUGUGAGUGCAAGCCGGCCGCCUCCAGAUAACCACUCGUCCUUGGCGCCUGCUAUCACACAGGCCCUUUACUGACUCCGCACUCAGGUCUGGAGGGAUGGCUCAGAAAUUAAGAGCUCUGGCUACUCUUCCAGAGGACCCGGGUUCAACUUGUAGCAUCCACAUGGCAGCUAACAGUCAUUUAACUCUAGUUCUGGGGGGGGAUCUGAAACCCUCUUCAAACAUCUGCAGACACUGUGCAUACAUGAUGCAUACACACACAUGCAAAACACAUAAAAUAAUAUAUAUACAUAUAUAAUUAAAUAUAUAAUAUAUUAUAUAAAAUUAUAUUAAUAUAUAAUUAUAUAUGUUAAUAUGUAUAAUUUAAGAAGAAAAUGCCUACCUGUCCCAGCUGUUGGCCUGACUUGUAUAUUCUGAUUCCUUGAAAGUCUGUGUGGGACUAGGGUAAGCCUGCAAGACUCCCGGGAUGUGACAUUUCAGUCUGGCUCAUUCUCAGAACAGGGUGAGUGAGCACCCAGAGAUCCAUGCAUUGCCCCAGACUGCCCUACUGCAGGUUACCAUAGGAACGGUGUAACCUAUACCCAUUCCAAAUCAAUACACUUACAACAGACAGCUGGAUGCUGGGCAGUGUGGGGGAGGAGAAGAAUGUAGGCAGGUGGGGACCCCUGAGGGGGUCCCAUAAAACACAUCUCAGCUCAUUCCAACCAAAGAGCAAAAGAGCCUGGUAUUUACCCACCAGCUCUUUACUGUGUGUGGCUGGUAAGCUGUCCAUGGAGAGUAAUGCCCCACCAUGCAGACCAGACAGAAGCCAGGAAACCCAGAGCCACGGCCUUCGUACAAGAAUGCCUAGGCCAUGUGGAGCAUAAAAAGGUGUGAGUCCGGGUGUGAAUGAUACCCACUGAAUGACACCAGCUUCUUGUGUACUUCAACAAAGAACUGGACCAGGAAUGUAGAAUAAAGAUAAGAAAUAAAAAGAAGAGAAAGAGCCCUCGAAACAAAGUGAGCUGCAGAGCUGGAACAGGUCUGAGAUUCAAAAGUCCCAGGCCCCAGGCAUCAUGGGCCAUUUACACAGCACCUGCCUUCCCUUGCAUUUGGAAGUGGGUUUUUCUCUUGUGGUCUGUUUCGUUGUAGGUAGCUAUGGCAAAAGGGAUAUUCCCUCCCAACUGGCUUGGGGGGGGGGUGGUUUGAGGGAGGCAGGGUGGACAAAGGGAGUCUUCCUAAACAGAUCUCUACCUCUUUCACUGACACAGGGCCAGAGCUCACCAGAAUGGACUAGUCCAGCUAGCCAGCUUGCUCUGAGGAUCCUCUGCAUCUGCCUCUGGAACGCUGAGAUUGCACUCCGCCAGCCGCCAUUUCUAAGGUUCUACAUCGUCAGGCUUGCCCCAACAGAGGAACAGAGUUUUAAAGUUUGAGUCAGCUGUUAUCCUUGUCAUGUGUGGAUGGCUCCUGAGGAAUGACAAAAAGAUUGACCACACACACAUAUAUACACGCACACUCACAUGCACACACUCUCACACACAUUCACACACUCACACAUACACAUUCACACACAUUCACUCACACACACAUUAUACACAUACACACUCACACACAUUUACACACUCACAAAUACACUCGCACACACUCACACAUAUGCACUCUCUCACCCUCGCACAUCUGUGCGCGCGCACACACACACACACACACACACUCCACAGGCCUCUGCUAUAGGAAAUAAAAGGAAGAUCUGGCACCAUCCUGGUCCUGUCUUACUCCUCACUGUCAUCCUGUCUCCACCUCCUUCCAGCAGCAGCACGCAGAGCAGCCCACGGAUCAUCAACUAUCUGCCCUCCUAGGACCACCCAGCAGCAACGCACGCACGUUCUACACUGGCCACUUCAGAGACCUCUGGCAUGGUGUUGUGGGACAGCUGGUGUUGUGAAUCAGGCCGUUGCCAAUCAGAGAACGGCUACUUCACAACACCAGGGUCUCACUGCACUGCAGGCAUCUGGCAGCAGCAAGCAGCAAGCAUCCAGACACCUGAGUACCAGGACACCAGCAAGAGCACCUGCCUGGGAGCCAACCUCCCCACCCAGGGUCACCCAGGACUCCUCCAGCUGUCUCCAGACCACAGGUGGCCACUCUCCAGCUCCUGCCCUGGUGGUGUAACUGGAGCUGAUGUUGAUUGUGACACAAAUAGCUCAACUUCAGAAGAGAGCACCAACUCUGGGCAGCAGUAGCUUCCCACAAAGGCAACAGCACAAACAGGUCUCCCAGGGUGAGGGAAGAUGUUCCCAGGCCCUUAGACAGGCUGAGGGCUCUUAAUUGAAUGUCUCCUCAGAGGGUCUGGAAACGCACGGAGAUUAUAGAACUGGGCCCUUUCCCCCUUUGUUUCCUUCCCUUUUUACUUUUCUGUUACUUUUUCUUUAAAUUGUGUACAUGUGUGGGUGUGGAUGUGCGUGCGUAUGUGGGGGUGGAAGGGUACGUAAGCCAGGGGUAUCUUCCUCAAUUUAAACUGUACUUAUUAUUCAUGUAUGCGUGUGUGCCUGUGUGAGUUUAUGUGUGCCGUGUGUGCAGUUGCCCUAGGAGUUCCAAAGACCGGUAUCGAAUCUUCUGGAACUACAGAUAAAGGGAUUAUGAAUGGGCAUAUGAGUUCUGCGAGCUGAACCUCCGAAAGGGCAAAAAGAAAAGUUCUUAAACCUCAUAACCAUCUCCUCAGACCCAUAUCUAUUCACUUGUUUAGUGUCUCUGUGUAUUCGUGCUGCCAACACACGGGUAGAGUGAUGGAUUCUCCACCCAGGGGUCAUUGACCCAGCAAAUGACCCUCUCCUAGGGGUCAACCUAAAACCAUCAGAACACAGUGAUGAAGUAGCAAUAAAAAUGGUUUCGUGGUCGGGGUCACCACCACAUGAGGAGCUGUACAUUAGAGGGCUGCAGCAUUGGGAAGGUUGAGAGCGCUGAUGUAGAGGUCAGAGAACAACUUGCAAGAGUUGGUUCCCCCUUCUAUCCUGUGGGUCCUAGGUUUGGCAACAAGCACCUUCACCUACUGAGCCAACCCACCAACCAUCCAGCUUGUUCUCUCAAUAAGAGUCUUAACUGAGCCUGGAGCUCAUGAAUUCAGCUAGGGUGGCCAGUGAGCAAGCCCUGGGGAUCCUCUUGAUUCUGCCUCUCCAGCACGUGUGCCCCCAUGCCUGGCUUUCAGGUGGGUGCUAGGGACCUAAUUCAGGUUGUCACGUGUCUUAGUUAGAGUCUUAUUGCUGUGAACAGACACCACGACCAAUGUAAGUUUUAUAAAGGACAACAUCUAAUUGGGGCUGGCUUACAGGUUCAGAGGUUCAGUUCAUUAUCAUCAAGGCGGGAGCAUGGCAGCAUGCAGGCAGGCCUGGUGCAGGAGGAGCUGAGUUCUACAUCUUCACCCGAAGGAAGCCAAGAACAGACUGAGCAUCCUCAGGCAGCUAGGAGGUCCCCAAGCCCACCCUCACAGUGACACACCUCCUCUAACAAGGCCACACCUUCUAUCAGCGCCACUCCUGGGGCCAAGCAUAUGCAGGCCAUCACAUCACGCCUGAAAGCACUUUACUGAGUCAACUCUCCACCUCAUUAGCAAUGGUGUCUUUGACUUGGGCAGUGGAGGAGGAAGAAGAGGUUACAGAGUGAUUGUCUUAGAGAGUGACUCCACUGUAAUCUGCUAAGGGCUCCCCUAGGGGCAGCUUGUGUUUGUGUCCCAAAUGGUCCCAGAUUCCCUACACAGCUGACUCCAUCCUCUGACAGCAAGAUUUCCACAGCUCUCCACUGGGCACAUGCACGCAUGCACACAUACGUAUGAGCUUGUCUGUGACAAAGACUGACCAAAGCCACACACUUGGUGUCACUAGGGCACUGAGAUGUCAGAGGCCCCUGUAAGGUCACACACAUGCUGUUACUUGUGUUGGCUAGUGGUUUUCUAGCCCCAGGUCAUAGCCAGAGACCCUUUAGACCGGAAGACCUAAGGUCUCCUGAACUUGUAUAUUUUUGUGUCUAACAAAAUUACUUGUGGCACUAUUUUUUUCAGAGCCCAGGCAGACUCUUAAGAGCUGUAUAGUAUCCUUUCUGACAUACUAAGGAAAAAUAAAGAUCUCCCUCUCUGCGUUUGCGUAGGAUAAGGACACCCUUAUCCCUGUGCUGCAAACUGUUUGCACGAAGGCUUGUGCUGGGGCCCCAUAGGAAGUGGACAAAAGCCAGAACAAAACCUCUGCAAACACUGCUGUGCGUGAAGGUCACCCAGACAGAUCCCGGGCGAACCAGAGCCACUUAGGUCUCUGUCACCUUAGAGUUGGAAAGAAGAGCUUCUUGCUUCCGACAAUCUCCUGUCCCUAACAUUCCUAAACCUCCUUAAGUCCUCUCCUAAUCCUCUCCAAGUUCCCAUCUACUCUCUUCCGAGAUCCUCCUGCCCUCCCCGUGCCCCGGCUUUAGAUGCCCAGCCCACCCUCUCGUGAGUGAUGCCUGAUUGGUGUCCUCAUAGAUACUUCAGAAAGAUCUAGUUUCCCAGUCGAGAGGAACAGGUAGAUGCUGGUCCAUGACUGUGGCAGGAAGCAGUCCCUAUCCUUUGGAGCCUUCCACCCUUCUGCAUUCCAUUGCAGGGUUUGUCUUUGCCUGGGGGCAGGGCUUCUGCUCAUUGACUGUUACAGCCUUCUCCCGGCUCAAUGGGCACUGAAAAAGACAAUGUCUGCUCAAUGAAUGGGUGAGUGUGCCCAAGCCAUGAGCAUCCUCCAUGAGCCUCCCUUGCGUUUUAUUUAAUCCUGCAUCUUUUAUCCCCCUUUGGGGGUGUUGUAUCUAUAGCUACUGGUAGAGUGGGUCUUCUGCCAGGCGCUGCCCCAUUCCUCUGUUUUUCCUAUCAAGUGAGCUGUGGAUCCACGCUAACAGAAAGUGCCACCAAGGUAACAUCCGUGCCAUCGGUCACCAGUGUCCCUGCUGUUCAAACCUAGGCCCUGAAGUCUGUCCCCUGAGCCACCGUGUCAUGAUGCGGAGAAGCUGGUCACUCCCAGUGACCCAGGAAAGCCCUCCAAAUUCUCAGAAUCGUCUACCCUGGUGUCUCUAACGAGGUGCCCCCAGCACCGACACACAGUCCUUUAUACGAGGCCUUCACCUUGUUUGAAGGGCUUCGUAAUGGAAUGUGAUUCGAAACCUUGUAAAAUAUGGAACGAGGUCACAUCCUGAGAAAAUGAGGGAAUCUUUUAAGGCCUAGAAGAAAGUCGAUUUGGAUUUGGCAUGAUACCAGAAGGUUCUUUUGAGGUUUAUAUAUGACCUUCAAAGGCCGAAGCUGCAAAUUCUGCAAAGGCCUACUUGGAGCUCAGUGUUUGGGGGAGCACAGUUUGGGGUUCUCUUCUCAGUUCGUAACUCCACCAGAGCACCACUCCAAGCCACACGUGUCUGCCCAUAGUGUGUCCUUCAUUCCAAAGUACAUUGUGCCUCACUGAAAGCAUCAUCAAUCCCAGCCCCAGAACAUUCCAGACCCUCCACUUGGGUGGAUAACGCCUAAGGGAAAGAAUCAAGAUGGUACAACCCUGCCUUUCUUAGCAGUCCGUGCUGCAGGAAGUGGUAAGCUUUUUUUUAAUUGCAUUUACUCAUCCACUUUACAUCCUUUAUCAGCCUUUCCUCUUCUCCCAGUUCCCCCUCAUAUAAGUCCUCCCUAUUCCACCCUCCAAGUGUCAACCACACCCCCACCCCCUGCACAUCAAGUGGCUGUGAGACUAGGCACAUUCUGUCCCACUGAGGCCAGACAAGGCUGUCCAGUUAGCGGGCUCCACAGACAAGCAGGCACCAGGCUCAGGGUCAGUCCCUGCUACGUUGGGGGACCUCUGUGAAGACCAAGCUGCUCAUCUGCUACAUGGGGCCUAGGGUCCAGCCUGCCUGUGCCUGCUCUCUGGUUGGUGGUUCAGUCCAGGUUAGUUGGCUCUAUUGGUCGUCCCGUGGAGUCCCUGUCCUCUCCGUGUCCCUCAGUCUUUCUCCCAGCUCUUCUGCUUACUUCUUACUCCCGAGCUCCAUCUACUGCUUGGCUGUGAGUCUCUGCAUCUCUUUCCAUAGGCUGCUGGGUGGAGCUUCUCAGAGGACGGUCAUGCUGGGUUCCUGUCUGCAAGCCUAACAGAGCAUCAUUAACAGAGUUGGGGAUUGAUUCUUGCCUGUGGGGUGGGUCUCAAUUUGGGGCAGUCAUUACUCGGCUAUAGCCUCCGUCUCUGCUCUGUCUUUGUCCCUGCACACCCUGCAGCAGCACACGUUUGAGGUGGAAGGUUUGUGGGUGGAUUGCUGUCCUUAUCCUCCCACUGGGGGUCCUGCCCUGCUGCAGGAAGUGGCCACUUCAGGUUCCAUAUUCCCCAUUCCUAGGAAUCUCAGCUAGAGCAGCCCCCUUAGACCCUCUGGGGCCUCUCCCCAUCCCAGUUCUCUGGCAUAUCCUAGAAGUUGCCCCCCUGUCUCCAGCCGACCCCCAUUCUUUUCCCCCUGCUCUCCCUAUAUAUGAUCUCCCCAGGAAGUGGUAAGUUGAUAUUUUCUGUAUCAUAACUUCUGUGAGGCCUAUGUUUACAGCCCAAUUCCAAAAAAAGCAGACUUUCUAAAGUGGUCCAGUGCAGACCACAAAAAAGUGUGGGCACAGUAGGCUUGUCACAUGGGCAUGUACAUAUAUGGACACACGCACACACACACACACCCUCAUAUUCACACACACACAUACACACACCCUCACAUUCACACACACAUAUACACACACACUCAUGCACACACAUCCAAAUUCACACACACUCACAGACACACACAUCUACUCACACACUCACACAUGCACACUCACAUACAUGCACACUCACAGACACAUUCACUCACACACAUCAACACUCACACAUUCACAGACACACUCAAACACAUACAAACAUAUAUCCACACACUCACACACAUCCACACUCACACACAUUCACACAUACAUACACACACACACACACACACACACACACACACACACACACACUUCAAUACCCAGUGUCUUGUCCUUUCUGACUGGUUAUCAUCAGCUGGCCUUGGCCAGUGCUUUUGGGAAAAACUGGAUUCAGAAAAGAAGUUUCCUUCUAACACUGAAUACCAAAUAGAAGAGUGUUUUCCUUAUUUGUUUCUGGAACCUGCAACCUCAGCACCCCUGGGAACUUACUGGGCAUGCAGUUAACCAGCCAUACCCCAGCUGUGCUGAGUGUUGGCAAGCACCCCAUGGAGUUCCACAGCACAUUGAUAGAAAGAAAAAGAAAUGUUGAGACAUGGUAAAGUGAGAUUGCACACACACACACACACACACACACACACACACACACACACACACACACUCCAAACCAAGCCAGCAGGACCAUGUUGGAAAGGAAUGAGCCAAGAAAAUGGUUUGAACAUUGUACACCGGGGAAACUUCCCAGCCUACCGUCUGCAGCUGUGUGAGAUGCUUGUGGCUUUCACUGAAUACUGAGUAGCAGUUUCUGAAACUCAUUCUUCAAAUCAUAGCAGUGAGUCUCCAGGGACCCUGGGCUGUGGAGUCCUGACCCCUCUUAUGUUCUGAACAAAUAUGCCCAAGGCAUGUCUGAUUCCUGCCACAGGGAGGCUGCAGGUACUGAUGAAAGCCUUAGCUUGUCUCACACUCCGCAUGCCGCAAAGACGUACAUGCUCUAUGGAGUCCGCAGCAGCCUCCUUUUAAGAAGGGGAUCUUGAGACUGAGAGGUUCGAUGACCUCCCUGGGGGCAUCGAAGUGGCUGCUUACCAUUGCAGAGUCAUGAGCCUUCUGCUGUCUCCAACGCUUUGCUAGGCCCUGCCUUUGAUGUGACCCCUCUUCCAUGAAUGCAUAUGAAACAGAGAAGCCAGCGUGUCCAGCAUAGAGUCCCCAUGUCCAUGGCAUCCCAGAAAAAUCACUCCUAAUCAGCCUCUGGGCUGACAACCAAACAUUAGGUGGUGGCGACAGUUAAAUGUGAACAUCCUGUGCCUCUUUGACCUCAGAAUGUGUUUGUUGUCGUCCAUGUUGCCUUGGUGAUAGUUAUCAGUAACCUUUAUGUUCACCAUGCGGAUGGUCUCAUUCAUUCUGGAUAAACCAGAGGCAAAGACCUUCUAGCCCUAAACACAGCCUCUUCGUUGGUACUGGCCCAGACAAAUACUUUUUCCUCUAAGAAAACCAGAGUAAUUCAGACCAAGAGUUCUGACCUUUUCCAUGAUGUGCACUGUGAUCAGACCAGGAGGAAGCUGUAUUCCACUUCCUGUCGCUACCCAGGAAAUUGCACGUAUUGCUAAUGGUGAGAGAAGAGCAUGUGGGCCUUGGGGAUAGAGUUGAAGUCCCAAGGUCUUCACCAUAAGUUUGAUUUUCAGUGGAAAAAUAAAAAAAAUCUGACCUCCUGUUCCCUCUAUCCCCUAAACAGAAACCCCCUGAAGGGGUGUCCCAUGGCGUUGGAAAUGCUAUUUUUAAAGACAUUAGCACGAAAGGUGCUGGUAAAGUGCUUGCUGUACAAGCAUUAGGAACAGAGUUUGGUCCCCAGCAUUCACAUAGAAAAGGUGGUUGGAGCAGCAUGUCCUUGUAAUCCCAGCAGUUGAGAGGCAGAGACUGGCAGACCUCUGGAGCUCGCUAGGUAACCAGCUAAGCAGCAGCAUCUCAGAGCCAAGAGGUAGAUGAGGAACGCUAAGAAACCUGCCCUGGGCCAUGCGGCCUGACCCUUUGUUUCCAGAACCAGAGUUUUUCACGUCUAGUACAAAGACAGUGCCCCCAGGACCCUGGUUGAAUUUACCAUGUGCUAACAUGUGUGUCAUCUCAGAGCCCAGAGCCCCCUAAGAAGGCAAGCAGAUUCUUCCCAGAUUUAUAUGAGGACCAGUUCAGGUCCCAUAGCUGGGCAGUGGGCUAUCAUACCCUCGGAGGUGGGCUAAUCAACUACCUAAAGGACAUUCUACUUAUACUCUGUAAACAACCCCUGCCAUGCACCCCCAGGCUGUGUAGACUUGACUGAUUUCAAAGGUUCCUAACUGUCUCCAAUUUAAAACCUGGGGCUUGGGGCCAGCAUGAUGAAAGUGAGAAAAAAUGCAAAUUAAAACAACCAUCAACCAUGCCUUUUGGGAAGAAAGGUCAUGUGGACCCACAGAAGUUACCUGUGAUCCAGUCUUCUCCCACUGGACCGUGAGUCCCUAGGGCAGGAUUCACUGUCUAUUUUGUUGCAUGGGUGUACCCAAAGGUCACACGGUAGGGCUUAGGAGACAGCUGGCGUUUGGUGCAAGACUGUGCUGUGAACGGCCAUGGGUUCCUCCACUGACAAUGGAAUGCUGGAAGCCCAGCCUGCCAAAUGUGUACGGUUCUCAUGGGAGAUUCAGGCUGUCUGCAUAUUAGCUCAGCUCAGCAGAAAAGGAAGGCCUCUGGGCCCAGAACCCCGUAUUGGUAAUCUGGGCACUAAAGCCUUCAGCAGAGGCCUCUAGCAGUGAACCUGUGGCUGUCCCAGACAAGCUUUGUAACUGGUUGCAACUUGCUGACCUUAUUAAACACAGGAAACAAUUCAUAUGCUGCCUUUCAUGAGCUCCAAAGCCGACCUGGCUCCUCUGAUGUGCUCACAUGGUGCCACGCCCUUUAACAGGGUACACAGCCACCACUGCGCAAGAAUAAACCUCUGGAACACAGAGCGUGGGCUGGCUCCCCCAUCAGGUUGGCAUGGUAGUCGGUAUGGUACGUCUGCAGGACCGCUGAUUUGCCACUCAUACAGUGUCCUGCUGGGUCUGUUAGCAGGAAGGUUGCUUGUGUUCCUCAGUAUGUCAAACACGGGCAGUGCUAACAGCCAAGUGGAUGCCCUUUCAGGCGGCUUGGGAAAAGAGCAUCAACAGCGACAACAAGAACACAGUGUCUCUCUACUCAGGCACAGAGGAAAGUAAGAUGGUGUGGCCUAGGGCCUAGAGGGGAGGUCUCAACAGCCAAAUCUUAAGUAACAGCUAACCCAGCUGUUCUGUCUGCAUUGUCAACUGGAACAAGAAGCCAGGAGACAAGGAGUUAAUGCAAAGCUCUGACCUUGUCUUUCUAUGCCACCACCCUCUGUGAUCACAAAGGGAUGCUGGCCUUCUACUCAGAACCCCGUGUGUUCCAGGAGAAAGAAAGGAGAGCUGGAGUCCAGCAGACUUGGAAAUCCUGGGCAGAACUCCAUCUCUGGACCCCAGAGCUAGGAACACUGGGGAAAGCCAAAGUGUCAUGGUGUUGGAGAUUGGUUCUAAUGCCUUAAUUCAAUCUGGAAGCUGCGUGUCCAAAUGCUAAGGUCCUUGUCACCAACUGGUUUUUGAUUGAUCAAUAAAGAUGCCAGCAGCCAAUGGGACCCUUAGGGUUUCGUGGGCUAGGAUACAGGAGAGAGGAAUCAACGUGACUUAGGGCCGGAGAGAGAGAUGAUCAGAUUUAGAGAUCCAGAGGGAAGAUCAUCUGAAAUGUAGGUGUAAAGGGAGGAAAAGUGGCCCCCAGAAGGGCUGCCCAGAAGCAUCUUGGGCAGCAAAGAAGCUAACAGGGCAGCAAAGUUAAAUGUAGAUCUAGAAGCUGUUGAGCGAGGAGUCCCGGACGGUAAAGCAAGCUACCCAAGGGAGGCUUAGAACUGGCAAACCCUUGAGUAGCCAAGGCAUUUCAAAAGUAAGCUUGUGUGUGUGUGUGUGUGUGUGUGUGUGUGUGUGUGUGUGUGUGUGUGUGUGUGCUUCAUUCUCCAUCCAAAGAGUUCCUAGACAGGCAGCUAUAGUCACGUGACCCGCCUCUACAUCACGGUAGAGAAUAAUAAAGCUAGAGCUGCAAGAAAGACGGCUCCUGAGCGCCCUCACUGCUAAUAACCAGCAGUGUCUGAAGAAAUGGGCGACAAGUUAACAACUGUUUUGUGGGGCUUCCUACUACAGUUAAGACAUAAAAAUGUGAGGGGCCGGAGGUGCCUCAAAGCUAAAUGCCCUCACUGGUCCUUUCAUUCUCAGCAUCUUAGAACCAUCUCAACUGUUUUAAGGGAUACAACGCCUGCUUCUGGCUCCCAUGGGUACUGCAUGCAUGUGAUACAAAUACAGACAUACAUGCACUCAUUCAUACAGACAAAAUAAAAACAAGUAAAUAAAUUUUAGCUGCUAGGCUGACAUGCCUCGGGGAAUGGGGGAGGAACCUAAAACCUCCACACCUUCACAGAUAAGCCCUGAGUUCUCCUGCCGUACUCAUCUGACUCCCAUACUUAACAGGGAUAGAACCACAACGUAGAGUGCUCUGAACUUCGACUUUUCUGGUAGUAUGGAGAAUUAUAAUAAUAAUAAAAAAAAUCCAGGUCAUUAAAUGUCCUUUGCUGAA